RNAcentral lists this long non-coding RNA (60669 nucleotides) under Sorghum bicolor (sorghum). RNAcentral describes it as "long non-coding RNA (SBIC_LNC016625)". The record is from RNAcentral. Lineage: Eukaryota; Viridiplantae; Streptophyta; Magnoliopsida; Poales; Poaceae.
GGUGGCCUUCUCACUGCUUGGGACCCAAACGUUUUUUCCCUGCAAAACCAUUUUUGUAAACCCUACACUAUCACCUGUGAGUUUGCUUGCAACCUCUCCAACACCGAUUUCACUGUGACAAACACGUAUGGUCCUUCGGACCACACCUUUUCUCCCCACUACCUUCAAUGCCUGCUGGAACUGCCGAGCCUAAUUCAUAGUGCUUGGAUUCUAAUCGGUGACUUCAACCUUGUUAGACACCCCAGUGACAAAAACAACGGCCAGAUUAACUCUUCCCUAACCAGUGCUUUCAACUCCACGAUAAAUGACCUUUGUGUCAACGAGAUCGACCUUUCGGACAGGCUUUACACCUGGACCAACCUUCAACCCUUUCCCAUCCUAGCUCGCCUGGACAGGGCUUUCGCCAACAACCAUCUAAACCUCCUUUUCCCUAUUGCCACUCUGUCCUCUCUACCAAGACCCACCUCGGAUCAUAAUCCGCUGCUGCUAUCCCUAAAUACAAAAAUUCCUAAAGCUCAAUUCUUCAAAUUUGAAAAACAUUGGCUUCACCACCAGACCUUCCUUCCUUCCAUCCUUGAGAGCUGGCGUUCGGUGGCCGACGUCGGCGAUGCGGCCGGACAGAUUGUCGCCCGUAUCAAGUCGGCCAGGGCUAAGGCAAAGGUUUGGGCUCGGUGUAACAGGGCACCCCCUUCUAUCCUUAAUAACUGCCGUUUUAUCACCCAAUUAUUCGACUUCUUUGAAGAAUUUCGAAACCUGUCGACACAAGAAUUUCAGGUUCGCAGCCAAGCCAGGCAUAUGCUGCAGCAACAUAUCAGAAUGAAGGCAGCCUACUGGAAGCAGCGAAGCAAACAGAAAGUUAUCAGAGAGGGCGACUCCAACACGAGAUUCCAUCAUGCCAAUGCAACCCAAAGACUCAGAACCAACUACAUCAGAGAGGUUCAGGUUGACGGGCAACAAAUUGUGAACCACGCUGGAAAGGUGGCUGCUCUGACGGAUUACUUCUCAUCCAUCAUUGGGGUCCAGGGAAGCUGCCAGCCGUUUGAUCUCAACGAGCUAUACGCGGGGUCUUACUGCCCAAGCGCAAACUUAACUGAACCUUUCUCUGCCAAUGAAGCGAAGCAAGCUCUGUUGUCCAUGAACAUGAAUAGUGCUCCUGGCCCGGAUGGUUUCGGGCCGAUGUUCUUCAAAGCGGCCUGGGAAACGGUUCAAACAGACAUCCACAGACUGCUGUGUGCAUUCCACCAGGGUGACAUCGACCUUCAGCGACUGAAUAGAUCUCACAUGGUCUUGAUCCCUAAGAAACCUGGGGCUGUCGAGGUCAAUGCGUUCAGGCCGAUUGCCCUUCAAAACUGCUGCCUGAAAAUCAUUUCCAAGGUUCUGACAACAAGGCUGCAACUUGAAAUCCCUAAGCUCAUUGACCUAAAUCAAACUGGCUUCAUCAAGGGAAGGUCCAUCACGGACACUUUUGUCUAUGCAAUGGAAUUAGUUCAAGUUUGCCAUAAAAGGAAAAUGCCGGCAAUUGUUCUAAAGCUGGACUUUGCAAAGGCUUUUGACACAGUAAAUUGGGAGGGUCUUUUUCAGGUCUUGAGGGCAAGGAACUUCACUGACACUUGGAUCCGGUGGAUCAGGUGCCUGUUGUCUUCAGCGUUAUCUGCUGUUCUUGUCAACGGGUCAGCUGGCCCCUGGAUCACCUGCAAGCGUGGGCUACGACAAGGGGACCCUUUAUCCCCAUACCUGUUCUUAAUCGUUGUUGAAACCCUGCAAUGCCUCAUCAGACGCUCGCAGAGGAUCAAGCACCCAACUGAGCCUGAUCUCCCUUGUGCAGUGCUACAGUACGCUGAUGACACACUUCUCGUGUUCAAAGGAGACGUGGAAGGUGCCUCUGCUGUCAGGGAAAUUCUAGACUCUUUCGCAGCUGCCACUGGUCUGCACAUCAACUACAGCAAGAGCACUCUAGUGCCGAUUCACAUGGCGGAACAGGAAGUUAGUGUCUGUGUUCAAGCGAUCGGGUGCUCGAGGGGGGGUUUCCCCCAAACGUACCUUGGAUUGCCGCUGUCAGUAAGCAAAUUGCCACUUACCGCCUUCACCCCCUACAUCCAAAAAACUGACAGAAGGCUAAGCUCAUGGCAGGCAUUCCUUCUAAACAAGAUGGGCAGAGCCGUGCUAAUUAACUCUGUACUCGAUUCACAGCUGGUAUACAUCAUGGGCUCGCUACAAAUCCCUUCUGGGGUAGUUUCUCUAAUGGAUAAAACCAGGAAAGCUUUUCUCUGGGCUGGAGACAAAUCGGGGAAGGUGCCUCCUGCCUCCUGCCUUGUCGCCUGGACUAAUGUGUGCAACCCGAAAGAGCAAGGUGGUCUUGGGAUCAGAGACAUUGGCAUCCAAAACAUUUGCUUGCUGCUCAAACUCCUCCAUAGGCUUCACUGUCCCCAGUCGUCAGCCUGGUCAUCUUGGGUCAAGAAUAAGAUCUCCUUGGCAAACUUGCAAGGAGACGUCCAUGGUGACCACUGGACUACACUUAGGCAGCUUCUGCCUCUCUACCAAGCUAUCACCACGGCGAGCGUGGGGAACGGUGAGUCGACUUCCUUCUGGCAUGAUGUAUGGCUGGAAGAUGAUGCGCUUGCAGAUGUAUACCCGGCUCUCUUCAGUCACUGCAAACUUCAGUCGGCCUCCGUCAAAGAAAUCAUUAAUGUUGGCAUUCAGAACACCAUGGUUCCUCGGCUAACAACAGCUGCUCAACAAGAACUGCGGGAUGCCCAGGAAGCGAUAAGCAGUCUGCACCUAUCAGACCAAAGUGAUGCCAGGAAAUCGGUGUUCGAAAGACAAGAAUGCAGCCUGGACAGCGGUGCCAUUUACAAGAUGAUCAAGGCAAAAACCCAACCCUCUAGCCCCAAGGCCAAAUUCAUCUGGGAAUCAUACGCUCCUCCACGCGUCCAACUCUUCAUGUGGCUGUUAACUAGGGGCAGGAUCCAAUGCAGAACGGUUCUCUUCUCCAAAACCGUGGUUGACGACCCGACUUGUGAAAUUUGUCGGGCUUCUGAAGAAUCUGUAGAUCACAUCGUUUGUGGGUGCAACCUCGCUGGUCAGCUGUGGCAGAGGCUGCAGAUACAAGUAAACCCCGGGGACCUGGACAUCAUUCACUCAUGGUCUCCCCCACCAACCAUCCCGCGAGAGGCUUUCUCCUCCUUCCUGGCAAUUUGCUGCUGGCAACUAUGGAAAGCAAGAAACGCUUUCAUCUUCAGAACGGAUACUACCAGCGUUCAAGCACUACUCCUGCAGUGCAAAAACGCCGCGAACCAGUGGGCCUUCAGACUUCCGGCAUCCAAGAGGCAAAUCACACAGGCUUGGGCACUCGCCUUCCAGCAGGCGAGGCAGGGUGAAGGUUAACAGUCUUCACUAGUCUAAACGAUGUUUCUUUCUUCCUCUGUGCUAAGUGACCCUAGUGUACGCCUGUCCAGGUGCACCUUGUACAAAAGAUCUAUGUAAACUAAUUUAGAGGCGUUUUGGCCCGUGAGUAAUACAAAAUUCAGGUGGGGAGCGACACCCCCCCGUUGACCGUCAAAAAAAAAAAACAUUGGAAAUAUAAAUCAUGAAUAACUUUUAAGUUGUUGAAUUUGGAAAUAUGAAAACCAUAUGAAUAGAUUUGUCUUGAAAAGGUGCUCUCGUGGGUGACUGGUUACUGGAGCUUGCUCUCAGUUAGGAGACCCAGGUUCAAGCCCUGCAUCCUCUUAAUUGAAAAGCGGGGGUGCAAUCUGCUCCUUCCCGUCAAGUUUUUUUAGAUUUGUCUUGAAAAAUACUUUCAUAAAAGUAUAUAUAUACCACUUUUUGAUAAAUAUUUUUAUAAAAACAAGGAGUCAAAGUGAGGCUUUGGAGACCGUGUCGUUAUCCUAAACGACUUCUUUUAUGGGUAUGGAGGGAGUAUGCUUUAGUGCGCUAUAAACUCUCUACCAUGUAUGUUCAGCUUGCAUGCUUAAUUACAAAUAAUGCAUGAAUCUGUAUUUAGCUCAUUGUUAUUCCAUAUCAGUUAACGGAUCAGCUAAUCAGCUAGUGAAAAUUGCUUCUGUGCCAGAUAACAACUCAUUCUGCCACAUGAUAACUUAUUCUCCCUUCUAUACCAUCAGCCAUUACUUUGCAAAAAAUUCAUACCUUCCAAGUUAUUGCCAUCACUUCACUAUUAGUUUAGCUAUUAAGUAAUACAUACAGGUCAUUUUUACCUCCCUCAUCAUUUCCCAGAAAUCAGAACAAAAAAUAAGAAAGGCCUCACUAUGAUGCCACAAUGUCAUUCUUCUCUCUCGCACAUACACUUGGACCCCAUCAGUAAUAUAGCCUUCUUAUAUUUCCCCAGAAAGUAUGAUGAGUGGCAAAAUAAAUAAAUGAUCUUUGCAUACUUUCAUUGACCAUUAAUUUAACAAAAUGAUUGUAUGGAGGAUAUGGAUUAUUUGAAAUCAUGGCCAAUAAGGGAGCAUGGCUUAUUUGGUAGUAGAUUGUGGACUGAGGAGUUUAUCAGUGGCAUGAAAGUAUUUUAUUUUUCAAAGAAACUAACAUUUGAACCUUAUCAGGUGUUUCACUCUGGUAUACCAAUUACUCUUGUUCCUCUUGAUGCGACAAAUACAAUUCCAAUCAACAAAGAAUUCUUCUAUGAAUUUGAGCAUCGUCAGGGUACUUAUGAGGCACAAUACUGCUUCAAGUCUUUAAAGAUGGCUCGUGACACAUGGUUUAAUGACGAAUUCUAUACAGUAAGUUCAUGCAAUUUGUUCCAUCUCAUUUCGUAUAUAUUUCUUUGUGACUGUUACUUGUUUUUCUUUAUUCAUGUUUCUUGUAUUUCCUUGUUCAGAGCUAUUUUAUGUGGGAUUCUUUUACCUCCGGUGUUGCCAUUUCCAGCAUGCGCAAUGAUAAGAAUGGUAAAUAUGGAAACGAUUUUGCUCAGCUUGAAUAUAUGAACAUUACAGUAGUAACUUCAAACAAACCAUAUGGUGUGUAUGAUGGCUCAAACCCAUUAUUCGAUGGUCAUACUACUCCCAAGUUUGGUCUUCAAAAGGUUGGAGUUCAUAGUGGUCAUGUUCAAACUGGGAUUACAGAUAACUUCUGUCGUGUCAAGGGCAGUAAUAAAGGAAGAUGCGAGGUACUAUAUGGCCACCAAAUAGUUAUUAUGGACAGCUGCAUAGUUCUUUUCCUGAUGAAAAAAUUAUUGCUGAUAUCCAUUAACUUCAUAGAAAUUCUGUCAACUUCCUUCAGUACUUACCUCUGUUAUUUUGUUAUGAUAUCACCAGACAGGUAGAGAUAACAUGUAAAAGUAAAACAUAAUUAUAUUAUAACUCUUUGAUUUGAACAUACUCCAUCUUAAAUUAUAAGUCAUUCCAAGAAUCUUGGAGAGUCAAAGCAUCUCUGUAAGACAUAAUCUGCAGCUAAACUUUUCUGUUUUGUUAAUGAUCAUAGGCAGGCAAUAGGUCAGCUCUUGGUCACAUAGGAGUAUGGCAAUAGGCCACUCUAGUACAGUAGUUGGUAGAACCAUACAUCAGCCAUACUUGGUAGGAGGAUGAUGUAUGCAGUGUACUAGGAGUAGUUGGGGCUGUACCCAGCCAUGCCUUGUGUACCUUAUAGUUGGUACAAGGCUUGUAUAUAUACACCAUGUAUGCAAUGAAGCAAAGGCAGUUUUAGUGCCACAUAUUUCCUGGGUUCAGGUUUCAGCCAAGACUGAAACCGUGUGUGAGUGUGUGUGCCUGAGCUCGGCUCAUCUUCUACCUUGGGUCAGGGGAGAGGAAGAGGGAAGGUGAGCAGGGUCUGCUUACCUGGUGCCUGUGUGCAGGUGCCAACAAUUGGUAUCGGAGCCGUACAAGCCGUGUGCUAGGUCCAUCGACCGGCGAUGGCGGACGGUGCGGCUCGGAACGGUGGAGGGGAGGGCGCGGAGCGUCAGCUCCAGCCGGCGCCACCGCAGGUGGAGGUGCGCGUGGUGAAGGAGUUCGGCGGCAGCAGCUCCUGGCCCAUGCUCACCCGCACCAACUACGGUGAGUGGGCGACGCAGAUGAAGUGGAAGCUGCGCGCGCGGAAGUGGUGGUGGGCGAUUGAGGAAGAUGAUCGCACCGAGGACGCCCAGGUGGGAGUCAUGGAGGCGCUCAUGGCCUCGACGCCGGCGGAGUACCACGAGGCGCUGGGCGCCAAGGACACCGCGAAGCAGGCCUGGGAGAUGCUGGAGUCGCUGCGUGUCGGCUCGGACCGAGCCAAGCGGGCCAGGAUCCAGCAGCUCCGCAGGGAGCUCAACGACAUCAAGUUCAAGCCCGGAGAGUCGGUGGAGGAGUACACUCUCCGUCUUCAAUCUCUGGCCACGCAACUGGCCACCUACGGGAAGAAGGUGGACGACGAGGACCUCGUCACCAAGCUGCUGUGCACCGUCCCGGCCAAGUAUUCGCAGCUUGCCAUGUCCAUUGAGAUGAUGUUGGACAUCUCCACAUUGUCUCUGGAGGACGUGGCUGGGCGGCUGCGAGUUGCAGAGAGCCGCAUCACGCCGGCACCGGAGAAGGAGAAGGCCAAGCUACUCCUGACGGAAGAGGAGUGGACCGCGCGCAUGAAGGACAAGCGCCGGACCGGGGAAGCCUCCUCCAGCCGCGGCGGUGAUGGCGCCAAGGGGCGCGGGAAGCCGCCGGCGGACAAGAAGAAGAAGAAGAAGAACACCGACCCCAACGCCUGCAGGCGCUGCGGGAAGGUGGGGCACUGGGCACGAGAAUGCCCAGAGAAGAAGCCGGAGAAGAAGGAAGAGGCCCACCUAGCUCGGGACGACAGCGACGACGAGUGCGCUCUGUUGAUGGGGGAGUAUUGCGCGCUGCAGGAAGGCGAAGCAGGGGAGGCGGAGGCGGAGCAGGGGACUGCGCCGCAGGCCGUCGAACUUGACAAGUCUCGCGCGCGCGUCCUCCUUGGAGCGGACGGUGAAGAGCUGGAGCAGAGGUGGUACCUCGACUCAGGUGCGAGCAACCACAUGACAGGGAGCCGCACCGCCUUCUCCAACCUCGACGAGUCAGCCACCGGAAGCGUGAAGUUCGGGGAUGGCUCAAAGGUGCAGAUUCGCGGCCGCGGCACCGUCCUCUUCCGGUGCCGGAACGGCGAGCACCGUGCCUUGACGGAUGUCUACUACAUCCCUCAGCUGCGCACCAGCAUCGUCAGCCUGGGACAGUUGGACGAACGCGGCAGCGAGGUCCUGAUUCGCGACGGGGUGUUGCGGAUCAGGGACAGGGAGCGGCGUCUUCUCGCCAAGGUAUCGCGCUCCCGUAACCGACUCUAUCUUCUGGAUUUGAAGGUAGAGCAGCCCGUAUGUUUGGCGGCGUCGUGCAAGGAGGAGCCCUGGCUGUGGCAUGGCCGGUUCGGCCACCUUAGUUUCGACGCGCUGGGCCGUCUUGGGAAGAUGGUGACAGGGCUGCCGGCGAUCCAGCAUGUCAGCGAGCUGUGCGACAGUUGCCUGGCAGGGAAGCAGAGGAGGCUGCCGUUCCCGAAGACCGCUAGGUACCGCGCGGCGGAUCCGCUUGAGCUGGUCCAUGGGGACCUUUGCGGGCCGAUCACGCUGGCGACGCACGGCGGGAGGAGGUACUUCCUCUUGCUCGUGGAUGACUGCAGCCGGUACAUGUGGCUGCAGCUCCUGACGAGCAAGAGCGACGCGGCGGAGGCGAUCAAGCACUUCAAGGCGCGCACGGAGAUGGAGUCCGGGAAGAAGCUGAAGGUGCUUCGGACUGACCGCGGCGGUGAGUUCACGGCGGCUGAAUUCACCACGUACUGCGCCGAGGAAGGAGUAGGGCGUCAUCUCACAGCCCCCUACUCACCGCAGCAGAACGGUGUGGUAGAGCGCCGGAACCAGACCAUCAUCGGCAUGGCGCGGUCUAUGCUGAAGGCGAAGGACAUGCCGGCUGAGUUCUGGGGAGAAGCCGUGAGCACAGCAGUGUUCAUCCUGAACCGUUGCCCCACCAAAGCGUUGAAGGGGCAGACUCCAUUCGAGGCUUGGCACGGACGCAAGCCGAACGUCGCGUUCCUACGCACGUUUGGUUGUGUCGGCCAUGUGAAGACCACCAAGCCGGGCCUCACAAAGCUGGAAGACAGGAGCACCAAGGCGGUGUUCCUCGGCUACGAGGAGGGAUCAAAGGCCUAUCGGCUCUACGAUCCGGUCGGCGGAAAGGUGCUGGUGUCACGAGAUGUGGUGUUCGACGAGGCGGCGGCGUGGAAAUGGGACCAGGCGGAAGAGCAAGGAGGUGGUGGGCUUGGCGACACUUUUGUCGUGGAACACAUGACGAUCCACGGCAGGGAAGAAGGGUCAGAAGGGCCAGCAACCGGGGAAGCCGGUGCCACUGCAGCUCCAGAGGUGGAGGAGCCACCAAGUCCAGCGACAGCUGGAACGCCAGUCCACUCCCCGGCGGCUGGGGUGGGAUCCCCUGCCUCGCCGGGGCUGGCAACGCCAGCGGCCGGAGACGUCGAAUUCGCCACACCACCAAGUGACUACACCGAGUUCGUGGAUGCUUACCACGACGGCGAGGAGGUCCGUUUUCGCCGAAUCGAGGGCAUCAUCGGGGAAGCAGAGGUGCCUGGGGUCGCAGCACGGCUGCUCGACGACGACCCUGAGCUUCUGCUGAUGAGCAUAGAAGAGCCCACAUCCUUUGCCGUGGCGGAACGCGACCCAAAUUGGCGGCGUGCCAUGCUGGAGGAGCUGCGGUCCAUCGAAGACAACCACACCUGGGAGCUGGUUGAUCCGCCGGCGGGAUGCCGGCCGAUUGGCCUCAAGUGGGUGUACAAGGUCAAGAAGGACGAGUACGGCACGAUCGUCAAGCACAAAGCGCGGCUGGUGGCCCGUGGCUUUGUGCAGCGCGAAGGCAUCGACUUCGAGGAGGUGUUUGCGCCGGUGGCGCGCAUGGAGUCGGUGAGAUUGCUGCUGGCACUCGCAGCAGCCAAGGAUUGGGGCGUCCAUCACCUCGACGUCAAGUCGGCCUUCCUGAACGGCGAGCUGGCGGAAGAGGUUUACGUCAAGCAGGCGCCAGGCUUUCAGGUGAAGGGGGAAGAGAGCAAGGUGCUUCGGCUGCGGAAGGCGUUGUAUGGCCUGCGGCAGGCCCCGCGGGCAUGGAAUGCCAAACUCGACGCCACCAUGGCGGAGCUUGGCUUCGCACGGUGUGCCACGGAGCAUGCCCUGUACACACGACGACGGGGGAAGGAGGAGCUCAUCGUCGGUGUGUAUGUGGACGAUCUGAUCGUCACUGGCGCGCGGGAGGAAGACAUCGCCAAAUUCAAGGCGGAGAUGGCGGCCCGAUUCAAGAUGAGCGAUCUAGGCGCGCUCUCGUACUACCUCGGCAUCGAGGUGAAGCAGGGGAAGGACGCGGUCAGGCUGGGGCAGCGCGCCUACGCGCUGAAGCUGCUGGAGCGGGCUGGAAUGGGCGACUGCAGGGCUGCAGCAACACCGAUGGAGGAGCGGAUCAAGCUCUCCAAACAAAGUGUGGCGAAGAAGGUUGAUGCCACACGAUACCGAAGCAUCGUCGGUGGGCUGCGCUGGCUCACUCACACCCGGCCGGACAUCGCGUUCGCGGUCGGGUAUGUGAGCAGAUUCAUGGAGGAUCCAAGGGAGGACCACUGGGCGGCGGUCAAGCGACUGCUGCGGUACAUCCAGGGGUCUUUGGACCUCGGUGUCGUCUUCCCCAAGCACGGCGAUCUUCGGCUGAAGGUGUUCAGCGAAGCGCCGCCCAGGGCAAAGGGCGGCGAGCCAGGGCUCACCGUGUUCAGUGAUGCAGACAUGGCGGGUGAUGUGGAUGGGCGGAAAAGCACCUCCGGGGUGUUCGUUUUCCUCGGAGCAGCGCCAGUGGCCUGGCAAUCACUGAAGCAGAAGACAGUGGCACUGUCAACCUGCGAGGCAGAGUAUGUGGCUGCUGCUACGGCGGCAUGUCAGGCGGUCUGGUUGCGGCGGCUGCUGAAGGAGCUCACUGGGAAGGAGUCUCAGCCGCCGGCUUUGCUGGUGGACAAUCAGCCGGCCAUUGCUCUUGCCAAGAACCCGGUGCUCCAUGACCGGAGCAAACACAUCGACGUCAAGUUCCAUUUCCUCAGGGAUUGCGUUGAUGGAGGACAGAUCACCAUCGAGUUUGUCGACACCGGCAGGCAACUCGCUGACAUUCUCACCAAGUCCCUCGGACGCCUCAGGUUUGUUGAGCUGAGGAAGAUGAUUGGCAUGGAUGAGGUCAAGGCUUAGCAGCAGGAUUAGGGGAAGAACUGUAAGACAUAAUCUGCAGCUAAACCUUUCUGUUUUGUUAAUGAUCAUAGGCAGGCAAUAGGUCAGCUCUUGGUCACAUAGGAGUAUGGCAAUAGGCCACUCUAGUACAGUAGUUGGUAGAACCAUACAUCAGCCAUACUUGGUAGGAGGAUGAUGUAUGCAGUGUACUAGGAGUAGUUGGGGCUGUACCCAGCCAUGCCUUGUGUACCUUAUAGUUGGUACAAGGCUUGUAUAUAUACACCAUGUAUGCAAUGAAGCAAAGGCAGUUUUAGUGCCACAUAUUUCCUGGGUUCAGGUUUCAGCCAAGACUGAAACCGUGUGUGAGUGUGUGUGCCUGAGCUCGGCUCAUCUUCUACCUUGGGUCAGGGGAGAGGAAGAGGGAAGGUGAGCAGGGUCUGCUUACCUGGUGCCUGUGUGCAGGUGCCAACAAUCUCAAGUUUGACCAAAUUUAUAUGAUAAGAUACAUUUAUUAUAUUUUCAUAGUAUAUCUAUUUGAUUUUAUAAAUUUUUGUAAUUUGUUUUAUAAUUUUUGUCAAAUUUGGGAUGCUUUGACUCUCCAAAAUUCUUGGAAUGACCUAUAAUAUGGGAUGGAGGGAGUACAUAACUUUUAUGAAGAAUGCAUUAUGAGAAUGGUGUGAAUGUUACUGUUUUGUAUUGGACAAGUUACUCUUACAUUUUGCAAGUAAAUAAGAUAUGUGAAUAAAUCCUACUGUAUAAGGAUACACUAAGUAAUUCUUUUUCUUAGGAUGGAUACACUAAGGAAGUUUCCAGUCCAGAAGCAGCCCACAUUCGUGUUGCUACAAAAGCUAAGCCAAACGUGGAUAAAAAUAGCCCUCUAGAUAGGGAAUUUUUCGUGAGCUUCCUAGAGGUAAGCUAUUCUGCCUGUUGGCUCAUGUCACAAGAUUGACAACUCAUGUUUUUUGCAUUACACUCAUUCUUUCCGAUCAAUUUCAUUUCUAGUAUGUAAAGCUGAAAUGAUCUAAUAGGCUUGAUUGUUUAUGUAUCACAACAUGACAGUUGCAUCCCUUUAUUAUUUUUACAUGUAUAUCAUUAGUUGUAAUUUGUAAAUCAUUGACAGAGUUUUUUUCACUUUUCAGUUGAUUUAUCCAAAAGUAGCUAAAUUAGCGUUUGGCACUUCAACAUCAUCUUACCAUUAGCAUAAUUUACACCAUCAGCUUAUAUUUUUGCAACAUAGUGCUGAACUUUUUAUUUUCAUUGAUUCAUUCAAUAAUAGAUACUAAACUUAAGUCUCAUGAACAGUAGUCUCCUAAUAAUGGAACAUUAUGUGAAACGUCAAUUUGUGCUGCAAUUUCAUGUCAACAAAUUUUUUGCGCUGCAAUUCUGCAUGCAAAUUAGCCUUUGGUGGUCAGCUGCUCUUAAGUAACUGAUAUUCUGUUACAUAGAGUUCUAUAUUUUUUUUAGAUAAUGGAUAUUGUAUACCCGGCUUCUUCUAUCAAAAGAUAGAAUCAGGCCGCUAGUGGACACAAACACUCAUGCAGUCCACUAUCGUAAAACCAAAAGGAAAUAAGGUUUAAGCUAAACAUGACCAAUAUAUGAAGGCCUUAAUGCACUUAAAUGCAGUGUUAUCUAUGAAACCAAAAAAGUUGCUCCAAGCAUUUGUCAGCAAUCAUUUUAUGUGAUGUCACCUACUCUUAUAACUAGACUAUGACCUGCAGGCACUAAACCUUCAGGAAAACUCUGGUCGUUUCGACAUUAAGGCACAAUUUCCAUUCUACAGAGAGGUUCUUAAUAAGCCAUCAUUGAAAAGCAAAAGAACGGGGAGACCUGUUAUUAUUGACAUGGACAUGAGUCCUGGAGAUUUUGUCUCCCUUAUAUACCUCUUAAAGGCACCUCCUGAAGUAAUAGACUUAAAGGUACAAUUAUUGGGAUGACACAGUGUUAUGCUUCAAUGCAAUUAAAGAUUUUGUUUUGUAUUUGUUUUGACGAAUGCAAUUUAACUAUAAUGAUUAUAGGGGAUUUUGGUCAGUGGCAAUGGGUGGGCCAAUGUUGCAAGCAUUGAUAUCAUUUAUGAUAUUUUGCAUAUGAUGGGCCAUGAUGACAUUCCUGUUGGACGUGGUAAUACCACUGCAUUAGGAACUCCAAGUCUCGGUUGCGAAUAUGUCAGUAUUAUUCCCCAAGGCAGUGGAGGACUUAUUGACUCAGACACUCUCUAUGGACUAGCUCGAUCAUUGCCAAGAAGCCCUAGAAGGUUAUCUUUUUGUAGGCACCAGAUUAACCAGCAUAUAAGUUAGCGCCCAUGAUCUAGAUACUUACAAUUUUCUGCUUUCCAUUCUCAGGUAUACUGCUGAAAAUUCAGUAAAAUAUGGCGCUCCUAGAAAUACUGACCAUCCAGAACUUCGGCAGCCAUUGGCUUUUGAAGUUUGGCAGUCUAUCAAAGAGCAGCUUGAUCCAAGUGAGAAGAUCACUAUUAUUACCAAUGGACCUCUUACAAAUUUAGCCAAUAUCAUGCUCUCUGACAGGAAUUCAAGUUCUGUAAUAGAGGUGAGCUGUUUGAUACCUUUUGUUGCUAAUUUCAUUUUUUUCAUUAUUAUUCGUAUUGAUAUGCAAACGUCCUUUGUAUGCACUAUGUAGAAGGUCUACGCUGUUGGAGGCCAUAUCAGAGAUGAAAAUGAUUCGAAGGGAAAUUUGUUUACUGUUCCAUCAAAUAGAUAUGCAGAAUUUAAUAUGUUUCUUGAUCCACUAGCUGCCAAAACAGUCCUGGAGUCAUCUCUGGAUAUCACACUUAUUCCUCUUAGCUCUCAAAGAAAAGCUGCAUCCUUUCAGCGUAUCCUUCAAGCUCUAAAGCAUGCUGAUCAUACUCCAGAAUCAAGUUUUGUGCACCGAUUGCUGCUCUCACUACAUGAUCUUCAGCAGAAGCAUGGGCUUUACCACCAUAUGGUAAUGUCUUUAUAAUUCCUUAUUCCUCUGCUACAACUAAUCUUGCUAAACAAGGGAAUGGUGAGAAUUUUUUUCACAUCAUAGUAUAAAUAACUCCAUAAUGGUUCACAAAUCCAUAUUGUACUGUUUCAAGCUGAACUUUUCUAUUGGGCAUCCUAGAGAAUCCAAAUGACUGCCAUUAUUCAAAUGAGAGGAGGACGCAUAGUCUCUAUCAAAGGAGUAACCAAGCUCCACUUUCUUUCCUUUUUGUUUAGAACUUUAGAUUCAUCUGAAUCAAUUUAAAUUUUUUGUUUUCUUCGGAUUUUUCUUUCAAACAUUUAACUAUUAACUUCAAACAAGUUUUAAUAGCAUCUAGGUUUCAGUGAACAAAAAGAAAGCUCGAAAUAACAUAGUUUCACCUAGAACUAGAGUGUUCUCGGUGCCUACAAGGGUUUCCUACCGUAAAAAGUAGGCAGUCACAAGCUCUGCUGGGAUUUUGGUCCCUUGCCCCCAUAGUUAUGUUGUGCCUUUUGGAACAGAGCCUACAAGUAUACUUAUGAAUAAAUAUAUUCAUGUUCUUGGUCGAGUGUAGCUCUUUAUCUGAUUUAUGUUUCCUUGGUCGAGCACAACUCUUGUUCGAUUUCUCUUUCUUUGAUCGAGCACAGAGAAGCAAGUCUGGUGAACAUCAUCCACCUUACGUUGAGAUAGAAUAGAAGAGAAAGAAGUUCAUUCAAUACUGACUUUUUUGGGUUUGUGUGGUCACAAUAACAGGAUAUAUUUCUGGGAGAAAUUCUUGGUGCUGUCUACCUGGUGGAAGGAUUAAAUAUAAAACCAUCUUUGCAACUGAAGCCAAUAAGUAUUGUUGCCAACAACACAACAAACAUGGACGGUCAGAUUGUUAUUAACAUGCAGAGUGCAAGUUCAGUGAAAGUAUUAAGUGAUUUUAAUACUGAAGAUUAUUACAGUCGAAUCGCUAAUUCUUUAGGCCACAAAGAGCGGUCUGCAGUUAUUGGUAGCUUUGAAGAACAAACCGCAAUCUGGAGCAGACCCCCUUUGAAAUUGGAGACAUGAACAUAAAUGAGCCUAUUUUUUAUGUAGUAUGUAGUAAUGUUGGUGAAGCACAACCAUAAUUGAGCUCCGUUACGGAGUAUGCCCCUAGCUUAUAAAAGUAGUUGCAAACGUGGUCUAUCUUUUUAAGAUUCACCCCAUUUAUUUUGGCAUUUGGAAGCAUAAUAUUUUUUUGUUCCUAAAUGUAACAACCACCACUUGUUCAACAGUGUAGGUUCGAUUGGAUCCCUUGAAAUUGAUGUAACAGCAAAGGGAAUUACAAUAAUAAUAUUAAAUCUAAUGUUUAUGAAACAACGUUGAUGUACCAUUUGCAUUAUUUUUUUAAGGAAGGUGGCCGCAUCCUAUAGAAAAUACUCCCUACUUCUCAAAUUAUAAGUUACUUUGACUUUUUUUUAUAGAUAGGAUUUGCUAUGUAUUUAAACAUAUUAUUAUUUCUAGAUGAAUAAUAAAACAGAUGUAGCAAAAAGUCAAAACAGUUUAUAAUUUAAAACAGAGGGAGUAUGCAUAUGUGUAUUUUUCAGGAAAAAAAUAAGAAUUGUUGUUAUAUAUCCGUACGUGACAAGCUGUUUCUGCAACUUAUUUACAGUUAGAUCAAAAGUUCAAAAUUACGUUCACCAAAACAUACUGUAGACCACAACGGACGUUCAGGCAAGGAGCGACAAUUGGUAGCAAGCCAGUGGGCGUGCUCGUCCUCGUCCUUUUACCUCCUAUAGUUGUGGUCUUAUUUUUCUAUUUGAACCUCAAGACCAGACAUUUUGCCAUCUCAAUUUUUAAAACUGUUUGAAUUACCUCCUUUCUUAAUGCAAUUUAAAUUACCUCCUUACUAGGUUAGAAGUGAUUUUUGGGCAGUUUCAUCAUUUUUUAUAGUUAAAAAGUCGGGCAAAUUAUUGAUAAGGUUUUUAAACCACAAAAAAAUGUUUUUAAGAUUUUCAAAUAUUCAAAAAAAUCCUAAGAGAUAUAUUGAGACGAGCUUGUAAAAAUAUCUCUAAAAGAUUCCAAAAUUAGGCUUAGCUCUAAAAAAAUAAAUAUAUCCAGAAAAUGAGAAAAAUCCUAAAAUAUUUUAAUCGAAAUCUAAACAUAUUUUGUGAACUUUCCACAACAAAACAUGACAUGUAGCCAAAAUAAAUGCAUUCAACAUUAAAUGUGUGCUUUAAAUUCUUGCUAGUUGCAUCUUAUCUUUUCAUCGCAAAAAGUACGCAUUUAGACAUCAAUUAGAAUUUUUUGGGAAUUUGUCAUAUUUUCAUGAUUCUUUUUCAUUUUCUUGAGCUAAAUCUAAUUUUAGAAACUUUUGGAGAUAUUUUCACGAGGCAUAAAUAUUUUAUUUAGAUUUAUUGUGUCUCAGUCUAUCUCUAAGAUUUUUCUUUGAAUUUUUAGAAUCUUAAAGAUAUUUUUGUGGUUUCAAAAUCUUAUUAGGCAUUUACCAAUUUUCAAAAAAAUGAUAAAUUUACCUUGAAAACAAUCGCAAACCCUAGCCAAAACCCAUAGCAAAAUCUGUGCGGGAAAUAAGGUUAACAGAUAAGGGCACAUUCAUAUACUUUGCAUCUGGCGCGUACGCAUGGUCUUCAGCAAUGGAGGAGGUUGAAGGCGAUCGUGGUUGGCGGCACCGAUAGGUGAUAAGUACCAAUAUGGAUCGGCAAAGAUGCACGAAUAAAGGAUAACUUGCGAACGAGGAUAACUAGCUUUAUACCUAACAAAAAUUAAAUGCGACUAAGUGAUAGGGAGAGAGACACCUAAACCAAGACAUCAACUCGAUCCUCAAACAACCGCAGAAUCAUAAACCAAAAAUAGUGCAGCCGUACUAGAAAACAUAUAGCAUGAACUAGAUGAUCUCAAAAGAAUUACUUCACAAGUCCAAAAAGAACAAGAAAGAACAAAUGUUUGAGUAAGACACUCGGCUGCUCGGCUGCAAUGUCAUAUAGUUUAUCAAAUGAUCAAAAGGUUUCUAAUAGUUUAGAGGCAGGGGAUAUUUAUACCAGGAACAACCCUCCUAGAUAGGUGAAAAUGAAAUGGAGUUUAUAAAAGAAAGUAAUGUGAAAGUUUCCCUUGAAUGGAAUCCAAAAACUGUCUUGCAUGACAGUUGGCCUCUUAAGCAGUUUUCACUAAUUUAGUUAGGACUUCUUAUUGGAAAGUCUAAAUGAUGAACCGUUUAUUGGCUGUGAAAGUAGGCUUGAAGAGAUUUCUAGGCCUUGUUUACUUCCACCCAAAAACCUAAAAUUUUUCAAGAUUUCUCGUUACAUGAAUCUUUAGACGCAUGCAUGGAGUAUUAAAUAUAGACGAAAAUAAAAACUAAUUGCACAGUUUUGUCGGAAUUUACGAGAUGAAUCUUUUGAGCCUAGUUAGUCCAUGGUUGGACAAUAAUUAUCACAAAUAAACGAAAGUGCUACAGUGUCGCGAAAUUUUUUCCUGCAGCAACUAAACACACCCCUAGCCAUGUGUGCAUGCAUUAUGAAACUUUAUAAAUUGAUACAAUUUUGCAUGAGAAGUUGGACCAUCAUUCUGUCCUGGGAAGACUGUUGAUCUUCUUAGCAAUCUUCACUAAUCUACUUACACCUCAACAUUGGGAGGUCCAAAGUACUUGAAACUUACGACAUUGGAAACUAUGCUUGAUAAACUUUCCAAAAUAUCCUCAUGAGCAUCGAAAGUUUCACGGAGUUGAAAGUUAUGAGUGUUUCUUUCAACUAGUCCUUUUUCACUAUGAUGGUUCGAUUUGUUGGUCUAUUUUUCUCAAUGUUGGUUCGAUAUAGAGAAUCGUGCUCCUCUUUAUUUAUAUAUCUAAGUACAACCAAAGUAGAACACUUAGGUAGUCUAACUUUCUCAAAUAUGUCAAACUUAAUUUUAGCUAGGAAUGAGUUUGUCUGUUUCUAGAGUUGUUUUGCCCGGCUAGGUGUAAGUGGCCCUUCAUACACUUACUUAUGUGGGACUUAAGUAACCACUGGCAUUGUUCUUAUCAUUUUUCCCCUCUUGAAAAGAAGUUGUCCUCGACUCUGACUCUGAUGGUCCAAAGAAUUAUGCUAGGCCAUCGACUUAAGAUAAUAUCACGAACUUCUUUUUUCAUCAAAGUAAGGUGUUUGAAUCUAUAAUCAUAUAAACCAAGUAGUAGCCUUGUAGGUGGAAACCUAAAUGAUUUGAAAUUAAGUAUAGCUUUCACCUUGCAUCGAUGCUUAGAACUAUCAGUUAGUGUUGAUGUUCUUGGUAUGGUCCUAUCAAUAGGAAAACAUAGGAGAUGAAAGUAGCCUUCUCACCAAACAGUUUGGGUACAGAAGAGAGAAAAGAGUUGUGUGAAUGCUUCUCCACUAAAUAGAUUGGUCACAGAAGAGAGAAAAGAGUUGUGUGAAUGCUGUUGAGGCUAAAGGUAGCUUAGUUUUUUUGUAAUGCUCCUCCACGCUCGCACUAUGACUUGACAUGCCAUGCAAGCAAAAAUGAUUAUUUUUAGUAAACUUGUACGAAAUCUUUUCACUUCGAUGAUAAAUUUGUAAGAAAUUUAGUAGGGUGCUACUCGAAUGUGCGGGGACAAAAAAAAUUAAAAAACCCAUGGCUGCGGUCUCCUAGACUCUAGUCCUAGGAAUAUUUUGGCUACUAUAUAUAUAUAAGUUGCAACUUUUGGGCAAAAAAUUUAAAGGUCCAUGGUUGGCUGGUUGCCUACCUGUUGCGGCUGCAGGCUGGUUGAUCGCGAGCUGCCACUGCACUGCACCGGCAUCAACACUAGCAGCACCUUGCUCGUCGUGAGACACAACAGCCGGGAUGAACUUGCUCAGCAAACACCGCAGUCAAAUCAAGUACGUAUGAAAAAUCAAUCAUGGCGUGGCAGGGCACGGUUGAACUGGACCUCACGAGUUCUCAGUGAGUUUUCCGUGGCCCUAGGCGGCGUUUGAGACCCGGCGGCGGCGUAUCCGCCGGCCACUGCUCAUCCCCCGCGACGCGCCACUCCUAUGGUGUGUCUGAUCAAAUGGAGCAAGCCUCCGAUGGCGCACUGCCCCCGCCUCCACCGCUUCCUCUCGUCUGCCGCCACCAGAGCCGCAGCGCCGAUCCCUGCCCGGCACGUGCCCCUGUCGCCAGGCACGUCCGCGCAAAGCGCCCGCAUACGGGAGCUCGGCCGCCUCCGCGAGGCCAGGGAGGUGUUCGACGCGAUGCCCUUCCGCGACAUCAUCGCCUGGAACUCCAUGAUCCUCGCCUACUGCAGCAACCGGAUGCCCGACUCCGCGAGGUCGCUCGCUGACGCGAUCUCCGGCGGGAACCUGCGGACGGGCACCAUCCUGCUGUCGGGCUACGCGCGCGCCGGGCGCGUGCGUGACGCUCGGAGGGUGUUCGAUGAAAUGGUCGUGCGGAACACCGUGGCGUGGAAUGCCAUGGUUACGUGCUAUGUCCAGAACGGGGACAUCGCCCUGGCGCGCAAGAUGUUCAAUGCAAUGCCGAGCAGAAAUGUCUCGUCAUGGAACACAAUGCUUACUGGGUACUGCCAUAGCCAACUGAUGGUGGAUGCAAGGAAUCUGUUUGAAUUAAUGCCAGAACGCAACAUGGUUUCUUGGACAGUGAUGAUUUCUGGGUAUGUUCUGAUUGAGCAGCAUGGCAAGGCUUGGGACAUGUUUCACACAAUGCUAUGUGAAGGAAUGCCACCAGAGCAACCAAAUCUUGUUUCUGUGCUUUCAGCUGUACGUCAUCUUAGUGAACCUGGCAUUCUAGAGAGUAUCCACUUUCUUGUGCAUAAGACUGGCUUUGAGAGGGAUGUUGUCGUCAGCACUGCCUUACUUAAUGUUUACACUAAGGAUGUGAAUAUAAAGGCACUGCAGUAAAGUUCUUUGUAGGCAUGGCAGUUAGGGAUGAGUACACAUGGUCAACCAUGAUUGCUGCAUUAUCUGAGGCUGGACGAAUAGAUGAUGCUUUUGCUGUUUACCAAAGAGAUCCUCUAAAGUCUGUUCCUAGCCGGACUGCGAUGCUCACAGGCCUUGGUCGAUAUGGAAGGAUUAGUGAUGCAAAGAUUUUAUUUGACCAGAUUCCUGAGCCUAAUGUUGUAUCCUGGAAUGCCAUGAUUACUGGGUACAUGCAGAAUGAAAUGGUUGAUGAAGCAGAAGAGAUUUUUAACAGGAUGCCUUUUAGGAACACAAUAUCUUGGGCUGGGAUGAUUGCAGGGUAUGCGCACAAUGGGAGGAGUGAACAAGCUUUGGUUUUGCUCCAAGCUCUCCAUAGGAAUGGAAUGUUACCUAGCCUGUCUAGCUUGACUAGUAGUUUCUUUGCUUGUUCAAACAUCGAAGCUCUUGAGACAGGAAAGCAACUUCAUUCACUUGCAGUAAAGGCCGGCUGUCAGUUUAAUAGCUAUGUAUGUAAUGCACUGAUUACUCUGUACGCUAAGUGCAGAAACAUAGGUUUUGUGAGACAAAUCUUUGAUCGGAUGACAGUUAAAGAUACAGUGUCUUAUAACUCUUUUAUGACCGCACUUGUACAAAGUAAUCUGUUUGAUGAAGCAAGAGAUAUAUUUGACAAUAUGCCGAGUCAAGAUGUUGUCUCUUGAACUACGAUAAUAUCUGCAUAUGCACAAGCUGACCAGGGGAGUGAGGCUGUAGAGAUUUUCAGAAGUAUGCUGCAUGAGCGUGAGUUACCCAAUCCACCUAUAUUAACUAUAGUUCUUGGCCUCGGUGGAAGUCUUGGUGCUCCCAAACUUGGACAGCAAAUUCACACAGUCGCUAUUAAACUUGGAAUGGAUUCAGGACUUGUAGUGGCUAAUGCUCUUGUCUCGAUGUACUUCAAGUGUGGUUCUGCAGAUUCCCUCAUGGUUUUUUAUUCAAUGGAGGAACGGGACAUUUUUACAUGGAAUACCAUCAUUACAGGCUAUGCUCAACAUGGCCUUGGAAGAGAAGCCAUCAAGAUGUAUCAACUAAUGAUAUCUGCAGGAGUGUUGCCUAAUGAGGUCACUUUUGUGGGACUUUUACAUGCAUGUAGCCAUUCUGGUUUGGUAAAUGAAGGGCGCUAGUUUUUCAAGUCUAUGAGCAGUGAUUAUGGAUUAACUCCUCUGCUGGAGCACUAUGCUUGCAUGGUUGACCUACUUGGGUGAGCUGGUGAUGUGCAAGGAGCUGAACAGUUUAUUUAUGAUAUGCCUAUUGAGCCAGAUUCAGUGAUCUGGAGUGCACUUCUUGGGGCAUGCAAGAUUCACAAGAAUGUAGAAAUUGGUAGCAGAGCAGCUGAGAAACUUUUCUCUAUCGAGCCGUCAAAUGCUGGGAAUUAUGUCAUGUUGUCAAAUAUAUACUCCUCCCAAGGGAUGUGGGACGAAGUUGCAAAGGUACGAAAACUUAUGAAAGAACAAGGUGUGAACAAGGAUCCUGGUUGUAGCUGGAUGCAGAUAAAGAACAAAAUGCAUUCAUUUGUCACUGGAGACGAGGAACACGAGCAAAUUCAAGAUAUAUAUGCUACCCUUCGGGAUUUAUACACUUUGCUAAAGGCCACAGGGUAUGUACCUGACACAGACUUUGUUCUUCAUGACAUCGAUGAAGAGCAGAAGGAAAGCUCGCUUCUGUACCACAGUGAGAAGCUUGCUGUUGCUUAUGGCCUUCUUGUUACACCCGAGGGCAUGCCCAUACAGAUAAUGAAGAACCUUAGAAUAUGUGGUGACUGUCACACUUUCAUGAAAUUUGUAUCCUAUGUCACCAAGAGAGAAGUUGACGUUAGGGAUGGGAAUCGAUUCCAUCAUUUCAGGAAUGGAAGCUGUGCUUGUGGUGAUUUUUGGUGAUAAAUUAUCCGAGAACCAGCAGGUCCUCUUCACACUAUCCCCUCAAACACAGAUUGUCUAAUUUCUUCACCCAUGUUUUAGUUUCCCUUUAGUUUCUAUCUGUAUCUAAAUCCCUUUUCAUGUUGUCCCAAUUGAUCAAAGAUGAUUUUGCUAUGUGAUAUUUUCAAUGGGUUACAUAAAAGUUGGCAUAAAGAUGGGUUUGUAGACUAGAAAAUUAACGCAUUGAAUUCAGAGCAAAGCAAGAUUCCUUAUAUGUUGUGUUUCUUAUCAUUGUUGAUGUUUUGAUGGAUAAGUCUUUGUUGGCUGGUUGUGGGCUGCAGUAGGCAGCACAUGGUCCUUCUGUAGGACAGCAUCCUUGACAUCUGUAGGACAGCAUCUUGACUGCUUUUAGGACAGCAGUUAGCAUCUAUAGGACAACAUCUUAUACUAGCAUCUUGGCAUAUGCUGGCUGGUUAGCAGCCCUAUAAAUAUGUAUCCCCAACCCCUCAGGUUGGCAUAGCAUUGUGUGAGAAAUAAACCCAGAAAAUUGUCCCAACUCUGUGUGCUAUCCUCUCAAUGAGAGUAAGGAUCCUGCUCACACCUAGAGCAAGGAUCCAGCGACUAACAAGUGGUAUCGGAGCCGUAGUAUCCUGUAGCCUAAGCAUUUCCUGCUCAAUCCCUUCUCCAGUCGAGCUCCCUGCCUCGCAGCAGCCCCGGCUGGCAGCAGCAGCUGUUCCGGCUGCCUCUGCUCUCCGCGCAGCAGCGCGCCAUGGCCGUAGAAGGGCAGUCUCAGCACUCGGGCACCUCGAGCGCGCGGCGUCGGCAGGAGGCUGACCUCGCUGCAGCAGAGGAGUGCAGGCGAGCAGCGGCAGCAACCGCUGCAGCAGCAGCGAGGGCGUCGAGGCUGGCCCAAGCGGAGCUGGCAGCAGCCAGAGCGGAGGUGGAGGCAGCAGCAGCUGCAGAUGCAGCGCGUGCAGCGGCAGCGGAGGUUGAGGACCUGCGCAGCAGUCACAGCAGCUCCAUCGCUGCUGAUGACAGUGCUGACCCAGACCUAGAGCUGCUGGAGAGAGAUGCAGCACGUCGGCGAGCGGCGCAGUGGGCAGCUGUGCACGCCCACGAGCGUGGCCGCAGUCCAGACAGGCGUGGAGGCGCCGGCGGCGUUCCUGGAGGAGGUACGCACGGCAACGGUGGUGGACGGGUCGAGGAAGAGCACGGCCUUCGCAGGCCGCGUGGCUCUCUCUCCCCGGACCGGUACCGUGGUGGAGCCGGCGGCGCUCCUGGAGGAAGCGCACAUGGCAACGGUGGUGGACGGGUCGAGGGAGAGCACGGCCUUCGCAGGCCGCGUGGCUCUCUCUCCCCGGACCCGACCGUGGCUACCACGGGUACCAGGGUGUUGCUAGGGACGUUGGCCCUGGUGGUGGGUGGCCUACCCUCACCAAGACUAACUAUGUUGAGUGGGCUGCGGGAUGAAGGUGAGGCUUCAGGUGCUGCACAUGUGGGAGGCAGUCCGGUACGACGACGUCGACUACGACCAGGAUCGACGGGCACUGAAUGCCCUCAUCGCUGUAGUCCCGACCGAGAUCCAGUUCUCGCUUACCAGCAAGCGGACUGCCAAGGAUGCUUGGGACGCCAUUGCUGCAGCACGCAUCGGCAAUGAUCGCGCCCGCAAGUCCACAUUGUAGCAACUCCGCAAGGAGUGGGAGGACCUGGCCUUCAAGCCAGGUGAGGACGUUGAUUUUGCUCUCCGUCUCAACACUUUGCUGCAGAAAGUGGUGCAGUUUGGUGACAACACCUACAGCGAGGAGAGAGCUGUCGAGAAGCUCUUCCGCUCCGUCCCCGAGAAGUAUAGGCAGAUGGCUCGCUCAAUCGAGUCUCUGCUAGACCUCUCCACGAUGUCGAUCGAGGAGGCGAUAGGUCGCCUCAAGGUCGUCGACAGUGACGAGCCACAACCCUCCUCGGGGCCCAAGCUCCUUCUCACUCGGGAGCAGUGGGCUGCCGGGCAUGGUGACAAGAAGAAGGGGGAGCCUUCUUUUGCAGCAGCCAGCCGCAAGCGUGGCAAGCGCGGCAAGUCACGUAAAGGUGCCCAGUGUUAGUCGUUGGAUCCUUGCUCUAGGUGUGAGCAGGAUCCUUACUCUCAUUGAGAGGAUAGCACACUGAGUUGGGGCAAUUUUCUGGGUUUAUUUCUCACACAAUGCUAUGCCAACCUGAGGGGUUGGGGAUACAUAUUUAUAGGGCUGCUAACCAGCCAGCAUAUGCCAAGAUGCUAGUCUAAGAUGCUGUCCUACAGAUGCUAACUGCUGUCCUAAAAGCAGUCAAGAUGCUGUCCUACAGAUGCUAACUGCUGUCCUAAAAGCAGUCAAGGAUGUUGUCCUACACAAGGACCAUGUGCUGCCUGCUGCAGCCCACAACCACCAGCCAACAGAGACUUAUCCAUCAUUCUCCCCCUAAGUCUUGUGUGGCUCCUUGUGGGGUAUCUGAGCCAUCCCGAUCCUGGUGCGAAGUUCAUGGAACUUAGACUCGCCCAAGGGACUUUGACAGAAAGUCGGCGAGCUGGUCUUGGGUGUUGAUGUAGUUGGCCCGAACGCUCCCUUCCUCCAGGCAGCUCCUGAUGAAGUGGUACCUCACCCGGAUGUGCUUGCUGCGCUCAUGGAAGACUGGAUUCUUCGCCAAGGCCAAGGCAGACUUGCUGUCCACCCUGAGCUCCACUGCCUCUGCGUCUCUGCCAAGGAGAUCGCCAAGCAGCCGAGCCAGCCACAGAGCCUGAGUAGAAGCGGUAGUGGCUGCGAUGUAUUCUGCCUCGCAGCUGGACAGAGCCACCACCUGCUGCUUGACCGACUGCCAGCUGAUCGGACACUUGCCGAGGAAGAAGAGCGUCCCGCUGGUGCUCUUGCUCGUGCCGGCGUGGUCGCUGUCACUGUACCCGAUGAAAUGUGCCGCACCGGGGCACCUCGGGUAGUGCAGACCGUAGUCGGAGGUGCCCGCGACGUAGCGGAGGAUCCUCUUCACGGCCUGCUGGUGCUCCGUCGUCGGUCGCUGCAUGAACCGGCUGACGUAGCCGACGGCGAACGCCAAGUCCGGUCGCGUGUGGACAAGGUAGCGAAGGCUGCCCACAAUGCGCCGGUACUGCGUCGCGUCCACCUCUUCCUCCGCACUCUCCCGACUCAGCCUCAGCAUCUCCUCCAUAGGAGUGUGGGCUGGGUUGCAGCCGGUGAGACCGCCCAGCUCCACAAUGCGCUUGGCGUAGGCUGUCUGGCGGAGAGAGGUGCCGGAGCUGUCCUGGUGGACCUCGAUCCCCAGGUAGAAGGAGAGAGGGCCCAAGUCGCUCAUUUGGAAGGUCGCCCUCAUCUUCUCCUUGAACGCCUCGAUCUCCACCUCCUCGGUGCCGGUGAUCACAAGAUCAUCGACGUAGACACCCACCAGCAGGGCCUUUCGUCCCCUGCCCCGCCGGUAGAUGGCCACCUCGUGCGGGCUUUGCUCGAAGCCCAUCCCCUUCAUUGUGGAAUCCAGUUUGGCAUUCCACGCCCGCGGUGCCUGACGCAAGCCAUAGAGGGCCUUGCGCAGACGAAGCACCUUGCCUUCCUUGCCGGGAAUCACAAAUCCCGGCGGCUGGUGCACGUAGACCUCCUCCUUCAAGUCGUCGUUAAGGAACGCCGACUUGACAUCCAUGUGAUGUACACGCCAGCCCUCCUGGGCAGCUAGCGCAAGGAGAAGUCGCACGGACUCCAUCCGUGCUACGGGGGCGAAGGCGUCGUCGAAGUCGACCCCCUCCUGCUGCACGAAACCUCGUGCCACCAAGCGAGCCUUGUGCUUGACGAUGGCACCGGCUUCAUCCCUCUUCAGCUUGAACACCCACUUAAGGGUGAUCGCGCGGUGACCACGAGGGAGAUCAGCGAGCUCCCAAGUGCGGUUCUGCUCGACCGCGUCCAUCUCCUGCUGCAUCGUGGCACGCCAUGCCGCGUCUCCCUCCGCCUCAGCGAAGGAGCGAGGCUCCGUCCUUGUGUGCCAGGUGCAGCUCCGCCUCGAAGUCGUGUACCGCUAACCCAGGGACACGUUGGUUACCGAGGAUGUUGUCCAUGAUGCGGUAGCGUAGAGGCUCAUCGUCGUGGUAAGCGUCGACGCGAUCCUCGUCGCCGGACAGUGGAGUGGCGAACUCCACCGAACGCUGACGGACCAAAGCUGCUGGUGCCGACCUUGGAGUUGCCGGUGCCGGUGCAGGAGAGUGGGGAGCCGGUGCAGGAGUGCGUGGUGUAGCCGGUGGUGUUGGACUCGCUGGUGGUGAAGGUGGUGGUGGGCUCGCCGAAGCUGAUGGCGAGCUGGGUGCCGAGGAGGGCGAGCUCGGUGAGGACGAGCUGCUAGCUCCCCCGGCUCCCUCCAAGUGGACGUAGUCGACGACGAAGUCCCUGAGGGUCGAAGCGAGCCGUCGUCCACCGCCUUGUCCCAAGUCCAGCCUCGCCCUUCAUCUAACACGACGUCCCGGGAGAUGCGGACGCGCUGUGUCACAGGGUCGAGGAUGCGGUAGGCCUUGGCGCCCUCCGCAUAGCCGAUGAACACUCCUGGAGUGCUCCGGUCGUCGAGCUUGCCGACGUGAGUGAGCUCCGUGGCGAACGCCAGACAACCGAAGAUGUGGAGGUGGCUCACCACGGCUUGCGCCCGUGCCAAGCCUCGUACGGCGUCAUGCUGUCAAGCGCCUUGGUGGGCGAGCGGUUGAGGAGAUGGACAGCGGUCAUCACCGCCUCCCCAGUAGAUCGUCGGCAUCCCUCUCUGCUUGAGGAGGGCGCGGGCGGUGGCGACCACCGUCUGGUUGCGGCGCUUGACGACGCCGUUCUGCUGCGGGGUGUACGGCGCGGUGAAGUGGCGCUGGAUCCCCUCGUCGGCGCAGUGCGCCGCGAACUCAGCCGCCGUGAACUCGCCACCGUUGUCCGUGCGCAGCACCCGAAGCUUGCGGCCGCACUCCUUCUCCGCAGCAGCUUGGUGGUGCUUGAUGGCGUCCGCGGCUGCCCCCUUGGUGUCGAGGAGGACAGCCCACAUGUAGCGGGACGUGUCGUCGACGAGGAGGAGGAAGUAGCGUCGUCCUCCAGGUGUAGCCGGUGUCACGGGGCCGCAAAGGUCGCCGUGCACAAGCUCCAGCUUCUCCUUGGCACGAAAGCUUGCUUGGCGGGGAAAGGGCAGCCGUCGCUGCUUGGUGAGGACGCAGGUGUCGCAGAACUGCUCCACGUGGUCGACGCACGGCAUGCCCUGCACCAUCUCCUUGUUGCCGAGCUGCUUCAGGGCCUCGAAGUUGAGGUGCCCAAAGCGCUCGUGCCACCGCCAGGCUUCAUCGUCACGCCGAGCUGCAAGGCAAAAAGGUUGUGCCACCUGUACGUGAAGGACGUAGAGGCGGUUGCUCCCCCUGUUCACCUUGGCGAGAAGUCGGUGACGAGGAUCCCAAAUGCGAAGCACGCCGUCCUUGAUCUCCACGCGCGAGCCAUUCUCAUCCAACUGUCCCAAGCUGAUGAUGGAGUUCCUCAGUGUGGGGAUGUAGUAGACGCCGGUGAGCAGCCGAUGCUCACCAUUCUUGGCGACGAAGAUUACGGAGCCGGCGCCCUUGAUCUCUACGGCGGAGGCGUCCCCGAACUUGACGGAGCCUCGAACGUUGGAGUCGAGCUCGGAGAAGAACUCCCGCCGGCCUGUCAUGUGGUGGGUGGCGUCGGUGUCGAGGCACCACCCAUCGAUCUUGUUGCUGCCGCCGGACCCGCUGCUGAGGAGGGCGUGUGCCUUGGCCUCGUCGAGGUGGAGAAGAGCCGCUGCAGCCGGUGCUGCUGGAGGUGGCUCGGUGCUAGCAUGUGCCAUGAACAGACCUGGCUGCUCCUCCUCCGCCUGCACGACAUGGGCCUGGGCGCGUCGUGGCUGCCUGCAGUCCUUAGCCCAAUGGCCAGCAAGACCACAGUGCCUGCAGCAGUCAUCUUGUGCCGGCUUGGGUUUUUCGGCGGCGGCGCCUUGGACACCUCCGCGGGCGCCUCCGUUGGCACGCCCUUGCGCCCCGGCCUGGGCGCCUUUGCGUGACUUGCCGCGCUUGCCACGCUUGCGGCUAGCUGCUGCAGAAGAAGGCUCCCCUUCUUCUUGUCACCUUGCCCGGCAGCCCACUGCUCCCGGGUGAGAAGGAGCUUGGGCCCCGAGGAGGGUUGUGGCUCGUCAAUGUCGACGACCUUGAGGCGACCUAUUGCCUCCUCGGUCGACAUCGUGGAGAGGUCUAGUAGGGACUCGAUUGAGCGAGCCAUCUGCCUGUACUUCUCGGGGACGCAGCGGAAGAGCUUCUCGACAGCUCUCUCCUCGCUGUAGGUGUUGUCACCAAACUGCACCACUUUCCGCAGCAAAGUGUUGAGACGGAGAGCAAAAUCAUCAACGUCCUCACCUGGCUUGAAGGCCAGGUCCUCCCACUCCUUGCGGAGUUGCUGCAGUGUAGACUUGCGGGCGCGAUCACUGCCGAUGCGUGCUGCAGCAAUGGCAUCCCAAGCAUCCUUGGCAGUCCGCUUGCUCGUAAGCGAGAACUGCAUCUCGGUCGGGACUGCAGCGAUGAGGGCAUUCAGUGCCCGUUGAUCCUGGUCGUAGUCGACGUUGCCGUACCGGACUGCCUCCCACAUGUGCAGCACCUGAAGUCUCACCUUCAUCACCGCAGCCCACUCAACAUAGUUGGUCUUGGUGAGGGUAGGCCACCCACCACCAGGGCCAACGUCCCUGGCAACAGCCUGGUACCCGUGGUAGCCACGGUACCGAUCCGGGGAGAGAGAGCCACACGGCCUGCGAAGGCCGUGCUCUCCCUCGACCCGUCCACCGCCGUUGCCGUGCGCGCCUCCUCCAGGAACGCCGCCGGCGCCUCCACGCCUGUCUGGACUGCGGCCACGCUCGUGGGCGUGCACAGCUGCGCACUGCGCCGCUCGCCGGCGUGCUGCAUCUCUCUCCAGCAGCUCCAGGUCUGGGUCAGCACUGUCAUCAGCAGCGAUGGAGCUGCUGUGACUGCUGCGCAGGUCCUCAACCUCCGCUGCCGCUGCACGCGCUGCAUCUGCAGCUGCUGCUGCCUCCACCUCCGCUCUGGCUGCUGCCAGCUCCGCGUGGGCCAGCCUCGACGCCCUCGCUGCUGCUGCAGCGGUCGCUUCCGCUGCCCGCCUGCGCUCCUCUGCUGCAGCGAGGUCGGCCUCCUGCCAACGCCGCGCGCUCGAGGUGCCCGAGUGCUGAGACUGCCCUUCUGCGGCCAUGGCGCGCUGCUGCGCGGAGAGCAGAGGCAGCCGGAACAGCUGCUGCUGCCAGCCGGGGCUGCUGCGAGGCAGGGAGCUCGACUGGAGAAGGGAUUGAGCAGGAAAUGCUUAGGCUACAGGAUACUACGGCUCUGAUACCACUUGUUAGUCGCUGGAUCCUUGCUCUAGGUGUGAGCAGGAUCCUUACUCUCAUUGAGAGUAUAGCACACUGAGUUGGGGCAAUUUUCUGGGUUUAUUUCUCACACAAUGCUAUGCCAACCUGAGGGGUUGGGGAUACAUAUUUAUAGGGUUGCUAACCAGCCAGCAUAUGCCAAGAUGCUAGUCUAAGAUGCUGUCCUACAGAUGCUAACUGCUGUCCUAAAAGGAGUCAAGAUGCUGUCCUACAGAUGCUAACUGUUGUCCUAAAAGCAGUCAAGGAUGCUGUCCUACACAAGGACCAUGUGCUGCCUACUGCAGCCCACAACCACCAGCCAACAGAGACUUAUCCAUCACCCAGGCCGGGGCGCAAGGGCAUGCCAACGGAGGCGCCCGCGGAGGUGUCCAAGGCGCCGCCGCCGAAAAACCCAAGCCGGCACAAGAUGACUGCUGCAAAAACUGUGGUCUUGCUGGCCAUUGGGCUAAGGACUGCAAGCAGCCACGACGCGCCUAGGCCCACGUCGCGCAGGCGGAGGAGGAGGAACAGCCAGCUCUAUUCAUGACACAAGCUAGCACCGAGCCACCUCCAGCAGCACCGGCUGCAGCGGCUCUUCUCCACCUCGACGAGCCCAAGGCACAUGCCCUCCUCAGCAGCGGGUUCGGCGCCAGCAACAAGAUCGAUGGGUGGUGCCUCGACACCGGCGCCACCCACCACAUGACAGGCCGGCGGGAGUUCUUCUCCGAGCUCGACUCCGACGUUCGAGGCUCCGUCAAGUUCGGGGACGCCUCCGCCGUAGAGAUCAAGGGCGCUGGCUCCGUAAUCUUCGUCGCCAGGAACGGCGAGCAUCGGCUGCUCACCUAAAGAUGUCAAUGGGGACCCGAUCCCCGAUUCCCCGCGGGGAAUUCCCCUAUUAGGGGACGGGGAUGGGAGUAAAAUUACCCCCACGGGGGAAUAAACGGGGAGAAAAUUGUCCCCAUCGGGUCUAGCGGGGGCGGGUCUGGUAUGCUGCUCCCCGUCCCCAUCUCCCCGUGUACCCGUUUAUCUAAAUGCAGGCCGUAGUUUCUGUUCUUUUGGCCCAUUAAAGCCCACGUUGGCAAUACAUAUAUAAUCAACAGAAAACCUAACUCCUCCCCAUCCUCUGCCCUCCCAGUCUCACCCGCCGCCGCUGCGUUGUCCAUGAGCUAUGCCGCAAAGUGACGCUCCACUUCUCUCCAAUAGGCACAAGCCUGUUAAGCUAGGUUUGGACGUGAUUCUCGCCGGCGUUUAAGCUAGGUGCGUCCAAGCCGGUCAAAGCCUUGAGCCCCUCCUCCAUCCCCUGGCGUGCAGCUUGCCCGGAGCCCCAGGCUAAACCAUCACCAGUCGCCAUGGCCGGUGGCCCUGUGCAGGAAAGAUGGAUGUAUCAGUAUCUUGCAUCUUCUUUUUCUCGUCAUGCGUAUCUAUUUGCAUCUACUUUCUGCAUCCUGACAAACACUUGUGUAUUGUUAGUUUUUUUUUGUGUUUUGUGUUGCAACUGUGAUUUGUAAAGUAUCCUAUCUUAUGAUGCAAGAUGUGUUUAUGGUGAACAUUUCUUCUUUUAGAUUAUUGAGUUGAGUAAUUUUUUCACAAACUUAUAUUGCGGGGACGGGGGACCUGUCGGGGAUGCAUCCCCGCUCGGGUUCGGGGAUGGGGAGAAAACAUCCCCCGGGAGCUUUUACGGGGACGGGGACGGGGAAAAUCUUGCCCCGUGGGGACGGGGAUGGGAAGAUGAAACCCGAUGGGGAAUUCCCCAUUGACAUCUUGAUGCUCACCGGCGUCUACUACAUCCCCGCGCUGAGGAACUCCGUCAUCAGCUUGGGACAGCUUGGGACGGCGUGCUUCGCAUUUGGGAUCCUCGUCACCGACUUCUCGCCAAGGUGAACAGGGGGAGCAACCACCUCUACGUUCUUCACGUACAGGUGGCGCAACCCUUUUGUCUUGUAGCUCUGCGGGACGAUGAAGCCUGGCGGUGGCACGAGCGCUUUGGGCACCUCAACUUCGAGGCCCUGAAGCAGCUCGGCAACAAGGAGAUGGUGCAGGGCGUGCCGUGGGUCGACCACGUGGAGCAGUUCCGCGACACCUGCGUCCUCACCAAGCAGCGACGGCUGCCCUUUCUCCGCCAAGCAAGCUUCCGCGCCAAGGAGAAGCUGGAGCUCGUGCACGGCGACCUUUGCGGCCCCGUGACACCGGCUACACCCGGAGGACGAUGCUACUUCCUCCUCGUCGACGACGCGUCCCGCUACAUGUGGCCUGUCCUCCUCGACACCAAGGGGGCAGCUGCGGACGCCAUCAAGCACCACCAAGCUGUCGCGGAGAAGGAGUGCGGCCGCAAGCUUCGGGUGCUGCGCACGUACAACGACGGCGAGUUCACAAAGGCUGAGUUCGCGGAGAACUGCGCCGACGAGGGAAUCCAGCGCCACUUCACCGCGCCGUACACCCCGCAGCAGAACGGCGUCGUCGAGCGCCGCAACCAGACGGUGGUCGCCACCGCCCGCGCCCUCAAGCAGAGAGGGAUGCCGGCGAUCUACUGGGGAGAGGCGGUGAUGACCGCUGUCCAUCUCCUCAACCGCUCGCCCGCCAAGGCGCUUGACGGCAUGACGCCGUACGAGGCUUGGCACGGGCGCAAGCCGGUGGUGAGCCACCUUCGCGUCUUCGGCUGUCUGGCGUUCGCUAAGGAGCUCACUCACGUCGGCAUGCUCGACGACCGGAGCACUCCAGGAGUGUUCAUCAGCUACGCGGAGGGCGCCAAGGCCUACCGCAUCCUCGACCCUGCGACACAGCGCGUCCGCAUCUCUCGGGACGUCGUGUUCGAUGAAGGGCGAGGCUGGACUUGGGACAAGGCAGUGGACGACGGCUCGGCCUCGACCCUCAGGGACUUCAUCAUCGACUACGUCCACCUGGAGGAAGCCGGGGGAGCUAGCAGCUCGUCCUCACCGAGCUCGCCCUCCACAGCACCCGGCUCGCCAUCAGCUUCGGCGAGCCCACCACCACCUUCACCACCAGCGAGUCCAACACUACCGGCUACACCACGCACUCCUGCACCGGCUCCCCACUCUCCUACACCGGUGCCGGCAUCUCCAAGGUCGGCACCAGCAGCUUUGGCCUGUCAGCGUUCGGUGGAGUUCGCCACUCCACUGUCCGGCGACGAGGACCGCGUCGACGCCUACCACGACGAAGAGCCUCUACGCUACCACACCAUGGACAACAUCCUCGGUAACCAACGUGUCCCUGGGUUAGCGGUACACGACUUCGAGGCGGAGCUGCACCUGGCACACAAGGACGGUGAGCCUCGCUCCUUCGCUAAGGCGGAGGGAGACGCGGCAUGGUGUGCCGCGAUGCAGCAGGAGAUGGACGUGGUCAAGUAGAACCGCACUUUGGAGCUCGCUGAUCUCCCUCGUGGUCAUCGCGCGAUCAACCUUAAGUGGGUGUUCAAGCUGAAGAGGGAUGAAGCCGGUGCCAUCGUCAAGCACAAGGCUCGCUUGGUGGCACGAGGCUUCGUGCAGCAGGAGGGGGUCGACUUCGACGACGCCUUUGCCCCCGUAGCACGGAUGGAGUCCGUGCGACUUCUCCUUGCGCUAGCUGCCCAGGAGGGCUGGCGUGUCCAUCACAUCUACGUGCACCAGCCGCCGGGAUUUGUGAUUCCCGGCAAGGAAGGCAAGGUGCUUCGUCUGCGCAAGGCCCUCUAUGGCUUGUGGCAGGCACCGAGGGCGUGGAAUGCCAAACUGGAUUCCACACUGAAGGGGGUGGGCUUCGAGCAAAGCCCGCACGAGGCGGCCAUCUACCGGCGGGGCAGUGGACGAAAGGCCCUGCUGGUGGGUGUCUACGUCGACGAUCUUGUGAUCACCAGCACCGAGGAGGUGGAAAUCGAGGCGUUCAAGGAGAAGAUGAGGGCGACCUUCGAGAUGAGCGACUUGGGCCCUCUCUCCUUCUACCUGGGGAUCGAGGUCCUCCAGGACAGCUCCGGCACCUCUCUCCGCCAGACAGCCUACGCCAAGCGCAUUGUGGAGCUGGGCGGUCUCACCGGCUGCAACCCAGCCCACACUCCUAUGGAGGAGAGGCUGAGGCUGAGUCGGGAGAGUACGGAGGAAGAGGUGGACGCGACGCAGUACCGGCGCAUUGUGGGCAGCCUUCGCUACCUUGUCCACACGCGACCGGACUUGGCGUUCGCCGUCGGCUACGUCAGCCGGUUCAUGCAACGACCGACGAUGGAGCACCAGCAGGCCGUGAAGAGGAUCCUCCGCUACGUCGCGGGCACCUCCGACUACGGUUUGCACUACCCGAGGUGCCCCGGUGCGGCACAUUUCAUCGGGUACAGUGACAGCGACCACGCUGGCGACAUCGACACGAGCAAGAGCACCAGCGGGACGCUCUUCUUCCUCGGCAAGUGUCCGAUCAGUUGGCAGUCGGUCAAGCAGCAGAUGGUGGCUCUGUCCAGCUGCGAGGCAGAAUACAUCGCAGCCACUACCGCUUCUACUCAGGCUCUGUGGCUGGCUCGGCUGCUUGGCGAUCUCCUUGGCAGAGACGCAGAGGCAGUGGAGCUCAGGGUGGACAGCAAGUCCGUCUUGGCCUUGGCGAAGAAUCCAGUCUUCCAUGAGCGCAGCAAGCACAUCCGGGUGAGGUACCACUUCAUCAGGAGCUGCCUGGAGGAAGGGAGCGUUCGGGCCAACUACAUCAACACCCAAGACCAGCUCGCCGACUUUCUGACCAAGUCCCUUGGGCGAAUCAAGUUCCAGGAACUUCGCGCCAGGAUUGGGAUGGCUCAGAUACCCCACAAGGAGCCACACAAGACUUAGGGGGAGAAUGAUGGAUAAGUCUCUGUUGGCUGGUUGUGGGCUGCAGUAGGCUGCACAUGGUCCUUGUGUAGGACAGCAUCCUUGACUGCUUUUAGGACAGCAGUUAGCAUCUGUAGGACAGCAUCUUGACUGCUUUUAGGACAGCAGUUAGCAUCUGUAGGACAGCAUCUUAGACUAGCAUCUUGGCAUAUGCUGGCUGGUUAACAGCCCUAUAAAUAUGUAUCCCCAACCCCUCAGGUUGGCAUAGCAUUGUGUGAGAAAUAAACCCAGAAAAUUGCCCCAACUCUGUGUGCUAUACUCUCAAUGAGAGUAAGGAUCCUGCUCACACCUAGAGCAAGGAUCCAGCGACUAACAUGUUUUUCCCUGGAUUGCAUUUUCAUAGUCUGAUAGUGUAGUUAAUCCUGUUUUCCUGUUAUCAUAUGACUCACUGGUGUUUUGUACAUUUCAGAUCAAGGCUAAGUGCAGAGAGAGGCAAUACCUUACCUCUUGGAUGUUCAUCUCUAUAUUAAGGAGGUCAUCCAUAGGUUAGUCAUUUCGUCAUCACCAAACCAUUAUAAAAAUAAUUGAUUGAUUAUGAUAUCAUGCCUUGUGUUCUCUACUGAAUGUUUUAUGCUUUGGUGUUCUAAGUUCUGCUGUAAUCUGCACAGAUAUGCAGGUCUGGACCAUUGAUAUCUUUUGUCAUCAGUUUCUGCUUCUGAUGGUGUGGCUACCUGAGCAGUUUCUACCGAUUCUGUCUUAGCUUACCAAUUAAUGCAUUCACCAGGACAGAGCUGAAAAUAUGAAAUGGCAAGACCACAACCCUGAAGUUAAAGUGUUGGUAAGAAACUCAGAUAGGUGCAUAAAUGUCGAAUCACCUAGCUAAGAGUUUAAAGACAGAUGGUAGGUGUUGGAACUUGGAAGGCCAUGCGGCUCACCUUGUUAUGAACUCCAUCAGGAAUCAGGAAUUGUGGAAAGCUCAAGAACCACUUUCCUAAAUGGAAGAAAGACAACAAAUCUCAGUUAAAGGAGAUAAGGUAAACCCUUACACGGUUAGCAAUCAUGAUGAGAAAUUCCAGAAAAGAGGAAGAAGAUUGUGGACGAAAAAGUGCUCAAAGUAGAUGCGCAAGAUGAGCUGUGAGAUUUCUCCCUACAUUCUUCUGAUGUCGCGUCAAGGAUAAAGACCAAGAUUGGCCAGGCAGGCAAGGAGAAAUCCUCCUGGUAGGUCUCUCUACCAUAAAACUUGAUUGUCAAUGACAGCACUGUUAUUCUUCAGCUUAGCCUGUUAUAUCUCUCUUUUUUAUAAAAGAAAAUUGCAUCUGAAGCCUUGCACGGUUCAUCUUAGUUUUCUUUAGACAUGUCCUACUUGUCUUUUUUCAUUGUGGGGUUGCAGUACAAGAUUAAUUCUUUUAUAUCCUACUCUUCACUAUUUUCUUUAUGAUAGCCGUCUAAGGUUCAGAUAUUUUUCCCCUGGAACUAUGUAGGAGAACUGUGUGUCAUUUCAUCAUUAAGAAGAAGAUAGAAAUACAAAGGAAAGAGUGGAAUUGCCGUUUCCAGAUCUUGAUUCUGGACAAGGUUAGUACAAUGUGUCCGUAUAUGCAUCUAGGAUGUUAUUUUGAUUAAGGAAAACACCUUAAUUGUGGCUUCAAACUGCCACCUUUUUGCACUACUUGUGAAUAAAACUAUAUGGAGAAAAAUCAUAAAUUGAUGUUACUUUGAGAAAUUAAAUAAAACAAACAAGACACAAAAAAACUGUAAUACACAAAUAUAACAAACGCACUGAAUAUCAUAACUAAUGUCACAUGGUAUGUUUCAUGUUUGCUUAAUGUGUCAUCAAGGGCUAUCAUCAUUCUUGUCAUGAUCCAACAUCGUAUUAGAUAAAAGUAGACUAGAAGUUGAAAGAAUUAAAAAAUUCCUGUGACAUGCUAGAUUUGAUAAACCUAGCUAUUAUUCAAGUAUAUUUGAUGCAGUUUGCUCUACUUUAGUCACUUUAUGGCGCAGGACUCUCUGCGUCUUUCUUGGUGGAUGUGUGGGUUAUUUCUAUUAUAACUGCAUUUUAAAACACAUAUGUUGAAACUGGAAGGGAAGGAAACUUUUAGCCUUUGUAGGAGGUGAAGGACAUAGCAAAACCUCAGAAAAUACUUUCACGUCCUACCUGAUUGUGUUGUUGACUACUGAAUUGUCAAUGCAUACGUUUUUAGAAGAUUAUACAUUCUCUUGGAUUUUUUUUUUUAUCAUGCUAGUUAUAACCACAGGCUGUGUGUCCAUUGCGUUGUGCCAUACAUCAUAUGUGUCGUAGCAUGCAUUCUUCUAUACUUGGUAAGAUCGAGUAUUAUAGCCAUUAAAGUUUGCUAAGUAUUCUCUUCAUACCUAUAAAGAAAGUUGUUUAGGACAGCGACACGGUCUUCGAAGAGUAACUUUAACUCCUUGUUUUUAUAAAAUAUUUAUUAAAAGUGGUAUAUGUAUAUUUUUAUGACAAAUCUGUUCAUAUAGUUUUUACAUUUUUAAACUCAAUAACUUAAAAGUUAUUUAUGAUUUAUAUUCUCAAUGUUUGACUCAAACCUUGUCCAAAACGAUUUUUUUUAUAGGUAUGAAGGGAGUAGUGUUCUUUUACCUUAUGAUAAGAAACUUACAUUAUUAGGUGAUGUUUCUUUAGGAGUACAAGGACAUUGUCAUGCUGAGGUUAUAUCACAUGAGCAACAAGCAAUCCUAAGGCUGUUCUUGCUUUUUUUUUCCUUGUGAAGUUAAAGUGUGUGAAAUUCUUAUACGGAUCCUAUGAAAUUCCUGCGCGUCCAAGGAAUACCAAAAGCAAGUACUUACCAAGUACCGUGCGUCAAGUUACCUAUAUCUACCGAUUUUUUUUAAAUAUAGAAAUGAUGAAACCGCGUCGAAAACAAAUUCUAACCUAGCAGGAAGCUAAUUUACUCGAUUUUGAUAAACUACUGAGUAUAAUAAAAUAAAAGGUCUUGUUUAGACAAUGAUUCGAGAUAGAAAUGAAAUGAUUAAUCUUGGCCCAUUUGGUACACAGCGCUCGCUCGCUUAAGCAGCCCAGCCCGGCUUCGCCAACGCGCGCCACCUGCCCGAACAGGCCCUGCCCCGGCGCUGGCGCGAUCGCGUGGAGCGCACGCAGCAGGAAAAGCCACAAACGGCUGGUCGAUGCCCAUCGGGCUCAUCGCGUCUGCUCCAUAUUAUUUUUAUUUUUAUUUUUUUUCCCCCGCGCAGAAGGUUCCGGAAGCAAGAGACGCUUCCGGAUACAAGGCGUUCCGUUCUCUCCAGCUGUAUAAAUUCCGUCCCCACCCUGGCCUCUCCCGCACGGCUGCCGGCCUCACGUUUUCUUGCCCUGCUUCCAGAGGCUUCCUCCCCCCACCACUCCCCACUCUCCCAGUCAGCCCGCGUCCCCGUCUCUCUCCCUCCCUUCCUCCCAACACAGUUGAGAAGUCAGCACAAUGACUCAUAUCCUUGGCCACACAUGAUUUUCUUGUCCCCCUCUGUUUUUUUUUUUUCCUGUCGUUCUAUCGAUUCUUGCAGGGGCUUUUCUUUUCGUCUCUGCCAGAUUCUUUUUCCUUUUGAUAUUUUCUGUUGUAAAGUAGAAGUAGAACCGGUGUGUUUCGGAUGACGUUGCUGUUUUUGUCCUUGACCUGAGCUGGCGGGCUGCACGCGGCGACCAGAGGGAGCGCGACCGGCAGAGGGCGCAGGCGCGGCGGCCCGCGGCCAAGGGGCGCGACGACGGGCUCACGCCGGAGCAGCGGCGGGAGCGGGACGCCAAGGCGCUGCAGGAGAAGGCUGCCAGGAAGGCGGCGCAGGCCGCGGGGGGCGGCGCCGACGCCAAGGGCGGCAAGAACGCCAAAGGCAAGAAGUAGUAGCCGGGGUCUCCGGAUUUGUGCAGGAGGUUUCGUUUCUCCUCCUGAUCUGGCGAAAUUGGUUGGGUUUGUCUUGGCAGUUGGUGAUUGUGAGAAAGCUGUGUGUUCGUGCUGGAACUUGUAGGAAGAUCUGUAUUGCUUGGAUCUGGAAAAUCUGGAAUGCAAUGCGAUUUUAUUGGUGUUGUCACUUUGCCUUGCAAGUGUUCUGCAGUAAAAAAAAAAAAGAUAACAAAUGCAAUGCGUUAAUAUCAAAGAUAACAAAAAGGGGGAACCACGGCGUUGGCACUUUGCUUUGCAAGUGAUUUACUGUAGUGCAACAAGGCCUGUUUGAAGGUAAUUUUAUAUUUACAAAAGGAUGAGCUCAUUGCCCAUCAAAAGUUAACGAACAUCGACCAACCAAACACACGGACAUGAAGCCUUAUGAAACAACUUCAUAUUCACAAAGUUUUCAGUUCAGUAUUUACAAAUUACAAUUCACCACUACAACACAUGAUCUUCUUUCUUUUUUAUGAGCUGUGCUUACUUUAGAUUGCAUACGUAUGUUUUUGUAGCCCAGAACCACGAGCAGUAAAAGAUCACUCGCUGCACGGUCGACUCAAUCUAUAUCAGAAGCCUGUUGAUCACGUGCACUGGUCCAUUUUGCUACCUGGCCGUCCCAGGAUGAGCUCACAAGCGUGGGCUCAAAUGGGUGCCAACUGCAGUCACGAAUCGCCAUUUGAUGCCAUUUCAGCUUCGCAACUUGCGAUCCACUUACCUGCAACACGAAACGAAACUGAGAAUCAAAAUCAACUGGCAUUGUUUAUCACUAGUACUCCGUAACUGGUGUUCUGUGUUCUCGUCAGAUGAUGCACAGUUUCUCGGCAGGUAAAACGAAGUUCUCUAUCCACUGCUGUGAAAGAUGGCAUACAUUCAUCGAGCAGACAGAUUAAGAUUACCACCAAGGAAUGCUGGCAUAAAUGAAGUGCGUAUCAGGACAAAACAUACCACAUCAUAGAUGUAAACGCAGGAAUCAUACGACCCUGUAUAUAUGUACUUUUGCCCAGUGCUGCAGAAACAAAAAACUAGACAUCAAUCACAUGAGCACCUAGAUAUACCGUAUAAUUUGAUAAAUAGCACUUAAUCCUAUUGGUUGCUCGUAUGAUAAGGAGACGACUUCCCUAGUAGAACUGUCAAUAAAAUCAUACCAGAAUGGAGGUAAAAGGGUCACCUGUAAGCAGGAGAAAAGUAGCAACGGAUCAAUGUCCGGAGGACUGCAUGUCCACGGUAUGUCGCUAAUGACUGAUCAUGCGGAUGCUUUAACUGUUUAUGCUGCUGCGGAUACCUCGAAUAUCUGUAGUCCCAACUUGGGGCUCCGUCUGCACAACUGCAUAGAAGAAUAGAUUAACUUUAUACUGUAAGAUGACUGGCCACUGUUGAGGGUGACAACACAUAAUCCUCGUGUACAUCAGACACAUUUGACAUUAUUGCCUUAACACACUCUCAUUCCACUUAUAAGUUCAUUUUGGACUCAUACACAUGGAGUAACGUGGGUGGUAUUAUGAUCAUAUUGCCCAUAAAUCAUUGUAAGCACAGUUACAAUGAAAAAAGGAGCAAAGCAGAAAAGAGAAGGCAAAAUGUGUCAUAUAUUGUAUAUGAAUUUAUGUUGGUAGAAGAAUGCGGAUGGCUAGGUGGAGUGGUGGACUUAUAUUUAGAUUCAGAGAAAGUACCUAUCAGCAUUGGACGUCAUUUUCCUGACAUCCCACAGUUUGAUUGCUUGGUCUUUUCCAUUGGAUAUGAAACUUCGGCCAUCUCCACGACUAUCAAUAUGUGUUACCCCAUGCAAAUGUCCAGUCAAAACUCCGGCAGCUUGUCCUGUGGACAAACACCGCCUGUCCCAAACCUGCACACUACAAAUGUCACAUACUGCAGCACUGCUGAAAUGAAUGCAAUUUAGAACAUUAAACAUUUUCCUUUAUGUUCCCAGGGAGACCUCAGAAUAUCCAGCCCUAAAGAACUGAAACAGGACUGUGAAAAAUCCAUAACUGACUAUUGUUCAUUCCUCAUAUUCUCUCAUUCUAACACACAUAUAACCCCUCAACUAUUUUUUGGCCCACAUUAGCCCGCAAAUUACUAAAAUUAGGACACUAUGAUCCCUAAUAACAUUUUGUUUUUUUCUCCUUGUAAAAGUUACAUUUUAAGUUUUGGUGAUGGUAGAAAUAGUUUGAUCUUGUUUAUUAUCAUCAAACAUUUACACAUCUUUGGGAUUAAAGCAGUUUCAAGUGCUCCAACCUAAUACUAAUAGUCAUGAAAAUAUUUCAUAACAUAGCAUGAUGCCAUCUAUCAUCCCACAAAAUUUCAACUUGUAACACUACCUGUGUACAACAAAAUUGUUCAGGGGUUAAACUGAAAAAUAGUUUGAGGGGUUAUCCAGACAACUAAAAACAUCCUAGGAAGUAAAAUCCCCCCCCCCCCCCCCCCCCUCCAUGUAUGAUGAAGAAAUCUGAGGAAGGAGAAAACAAAUAAUUUUACAUAAUUUAGAACAACAACCUACCUUGCAUAAAGUGUCAUCACUUCCAGAAUAUAUGAGAUGGCCGGUUUCAUCAGCAAAUGCUACUGUAUUGACAUCAGACUGGAAAGAUCAAAAUCGAAUGAUAACAUCAUUCUAUAUACCAAAACAGACAAAUAUGAAGUAUAGAACUACUAUCAAAAUGGUAAACAAUUCGCAGCCACAGAGCAAGUAAGAGAGGUUUCGGUAGCUGUGACAGACACAUAGCACUCCCGUCUGUUGGGUGCAUCAUAAAACAUCCAGAUAUAAGUUUACAUUCUUUUGCAUUUGUCAUCUAACAAUGUCCAAUAAAUAGCAUAAAUGGAAAAAGGCUACCAUGAUUGGAAACUUUUCUUAUGUAUGGCCUGACUUAUUUUGGCUGCUAUAUCAAAGCAAAAGUCAGCUUCACUCCAGUGGACUUCCACAACAGUUCAUUUCACACCCACAACUUUCAAAAUGCUUGGCAAUCGACAUGCAGAGAAAGUGUACAACAAGAAGAGGAACUCAUCACUACCAAAGUUUGAGUUCCUGACUCCUAGCUAUUUGUUCUCAUUGUGCUUGUUGCUCUACCAUGUACUUGUUGCUUUUCGUCUUUUUCUCCUUUCUCUUCUUCAUGAUGAAAAACAUGCCCAGCAUGUUCUAAAAAAUAGUCAUAGGUUGUAGGUACAUAGCACAAGGUGAAGAGGGUGGCAUUGGAACUGGGGCCAAUGGGAAACCACGGCCCAGUGCCACAUUCCACUCAAGGGGUUCACACAUUGCAGUGCUGGUUGGGCUUGCGGUAAUUCUGCUGUAAGGUGCAAACUGCCGAAGAGGUAUUGAGUGGGGCAAAUGGAAGGGGCCAGAGAGGGGGAAGGAGGACAUUCUAUAUUGUCAGCAAGAUGCAAGGUAGCAUGAGAAGUGUAACCUGUCAAAUUGUGAUAAAAUUGAAGAGGAUUAGUGGUACAGCAGCACGAUAUGAGUCAUGAGAAUAGAUAGGGGAGUUCGACACUAGAAAUCUGCCUUUUCUUUCUUAAAGAUAGAAGGCAGAACACCUUUAUAAACCCCUUCAGUUUGACUUAAAAAUACAGGCCACAACCACUCAUCCACACCUUUCUCCAGCUCAUAAUUCAGUGACCCUACUUGAUAAGCAUUUCUCCAUUAUGUUCUGUUUCCAUCCUUGGUGAGGGCCUCUCAUAUUUCUUCCAUCAACUUAUGCUUUCUCUGCUGCUUCUCACCAGCCAGUGGCAUCUUCCCUCUACCCAGAACUAACUUGUCCCCAAGCAAGCAUAAUUCUGUCUCUUAAAAAAAUUGUGCAAUGCAAGAUAAAAGUGUUCCUAGGGGUUGGUUGAAAUGGGGUGUUAAUCAGUCCUUGCUUGGCGCCUGAGGCACCAUUUCCUAGCCAUUCUUCAGUGCACGAGAAUUUAUUGUGGUUCAUGUCUAGCUUAAAAUAAUAAAAUCAACCAGGCUGGGAACCAUGUAUGCCAAACAGUGCACUUGGCUUAUUAGAACAUCUCCAACUUGUUUGCUGCUGUACCGAUCAGCUCCAUAAUCUUAAAUUUCAAUACCAUCAGCUCUGUAACCUCAAAGGGCUUAAAGUUUCAAUACAGGAAGGUCAAAACUGCACUUAUGCAGUUAUGCCUAUGCUAGUAGCUCCUAAAUUGGCAUGGCAGACAUUCAAGGCAGGGGCUCCUGUGUCUUUUUUAAGCACACCAAAACAAAUGACCCAUACCACUAACCUGUUGUGGAAUAGAUCCACAAACAAGUACAAGUGGCCCCGGAACCUUGGUAGGAUCCAAAGGCUAGGAGUGGGAGUGCGGCACAACAGUUGGUGGAUGCUACAUGCUUAUUUCUCAAUGAAUUAUCUCCACAGACCCUUAGCUCUCUAAUCAUUCUUCUCGCCUAGGAAAUUCGCAAACAUAAGAAUGCCAUUGUCUUUGAAGGUGCUAGACCAAACAUUCAGAAUCUCCUUCUCACAGUACCUACUGAAAGCAGGCUGUGGUGUUUGGCUGGCACCUCGGCCCUCCAUGAGCUCCUUAGGUCGCAAGGCCCCGACCCUUGAGGGUGGUUGGAGCAGGGCUGGUUGUUGUCAUGUUGUGCCCUUAACUUGGCAUGUCUUUUUGUACUCUCCUGUGUGUUCGGGAGGGGCUUUUAGCCUUUCCUUUUUCUGCAUGAUGUUUGGACCUUUUUCCUUCUUAAUGAAAUGACCCUUCUUGACUGACACCCCCCCCCCUCCCCCUCAUCCUUCCGUACAUGUGGAAGGGAUGAUCCUGGGAUAUUUGGCUCUGGUCUAUCCCUCCAUCCUGGGACAGCCCUUUCUCCAACAGAGGGUACUGCGUUCUGGCUUGGGAGAGAACUGAGGUGCACCCCCCAAAACCAUUCUUCUGCUGAUGGAUUUUAGGAAAAACUAUCCUCAUCGCUGCUUCCCAGACCCGUCCCAGGGGAAUCCAACAGAGGAUCCCUUUGGUGAAUGGCUGAAUGCUGAGGGGGGCUUCCUCCGAUGGCUGCUUCUGUCUAGCUAGCAAACUCCAGAGGGACCCCUGUCGGGACAUUCUCCGGGGACCUCCUUCCAAGGGCCUCCAGGAAUCAAGAGAUGGCCCACUUCUCCAACAAUACCUUGGAUCAGCAAUAUCAUUUCUUUCUUCUGAAACUCAUGUCUACAGUUUGGAUAUCAAUACUGCAGCUUGCCAGACAAGGGGGAGGGACAUAAGAAUUGCAUUUGUACAAAGCAUCAACAGAUUUUCUUGGAGCAAUCAGAUAACAGAGCAUAACCAAAUUAAGAAAUAGAGUUGUAGAUCAAUCCCAAUCUCCCAAGAGUCAGAUGUCAACUAGAAAAAGGACUCCAUGUAAAUGUAGCAAAUUUAAUUUAUUACCUCUGUCCCAAAAAGGAUGCAAUUAUGGGUUUGGAUGGAGUCAAAGUUCCUUAAGUUUGACUAAGUUUAUAGAAAAUGUUAUUAACAUUUAUGACUCUAAAUAGGUAUGGAAAUAUACUUCAUGGUGAAUCAUAAUUAUUAGAUAUCAUAAAUAGUUUUUUUUUGGUACGUAUUUGGUCAAAGUUGAGAUAGAUUGGCUUGGUAGAAAGCUGGAAUUGCAUCCUUUUUGGGAUAGAGGGACUAGAUCAAAUGAAAAUCAAAGGAAAUAUAAGCAAGAAAGUAAGCAAUUUUCAUACUGUAUGAGCAGGUAAACGUAAUGUCAAUUUGUUUGCAUGAAGGUCAUAGACAUAUAUUGAUUCAUCAUUGCUGCCAGCAACAAGUUCCCGUCCAUCAGAGGAAAAUUUCACGGAAAAUAUUCCAAACGAAUAUUGAACAUCCUCAUGCUGUGAAAAAUCCAAUCCAUCAUGGAUGUCCUGCAGAAAAAUGUAAAAUUGUAAUUACUGUUGACUAGGUAUAAUAAACAGUAAAGGAUGUUACAUCUAACAUGGUACAUCUCCAAAAGGUAUUGUAACUGCUUUCAAGCACCCACAUUAAUUAACUGCUAAACAAAGUGAAUAUCAUCCCUAAGUACAUAUAUACAAAUUCUAUCACGUAACUGAGCUCAUCAAUAUAUUCGUAGGUUCAUCGAUUAAACUGAAUGGUAAACACACUUACUAGGGGAGGGCAGGUACAUCUCGUCUUCUAAUAUUUAGCACCAACCAGCUGAUGGAUUGAAUGCCAAUUUUAAGAAAUAAAAAGUUAAUGAAUUGGCUAUUAUUUUAACAAGAAACCACUCCUAAAUCCCCAGAGGCUCCUUGACUAAAAUAGGUUUGGUGCUUGUAUACUUUCCUCAAUUUAUUCACAAUGGAAGUUAAAAAGAAAUGCAGUUGUGGAUGAUUAACAUAAAAAUCAUAUUAUUGAAGAAACAUGUUUCUAUGAAGUCAUUGUUUGCUGUGCAACCAGGCAUGUGAAAGUCCAAAGCAAACCCAACUGUAUCGACUUUUUUAUCAUAACAAACUCGAAAAGCAAAUGAGUGCAAAGUACUCUAGUAAGAACUCACAGUGACGUUAGCAUAGGAUUCUCUUGCCGCAUUUCCGACAUUAACAAUAUGGACAAUAGGUGCCAGACUAGAGUAGGCCUGCAGAUUGAUAAUCAAAAACAAUGAUUCAGCCUGAUAUGCAAGCAAAAAUGGGGAGCAAGACAGCAUUCCACAGACUGAUGAAGUACAUAUAUACAUAAAUGAUAAUAUGAUAUGCAAACAUAAAAAGCUAGAAUGCAUUUUGAAACAUCCAAGACAUGGUCAUACCAAAAAACAAAAUAUGUAACAACAUGUCAUGAAAGGGCGGACUAGAAAUGAAAGAACCAAAUGGACUAGACGAAGUCUAAAAUGUCCCUGUAAACUUCAUUGUCCUACAGGUACUUCCAGUCAUUAUAGUGUAUUUAAUGGUUAGAACAACGUUGAUACAUUUAAUCUUCUAAAAUGUCCCUGUAAACUUCAUUGUCCUACAGGUAUUUCCAGUCAUUGUAAUGUAUUUAAUGGUCAGAACAACUUUGAUACAUUUAAUCUUGGUAGCCAGACACAGUAAGGUCCAUAUUGCAAAAAAACGUUUUUGGAUACUAGUUUCUUUGAUAACUGUCCAGAUGAAACAUCCAUUUCCCAACUUCAACAUGUUUCCACUAGAAGAACUGGAAACUACUGUCAAAAACACAAUAAUGAAAAAGGAAAACCUUGUUGUAAAACAUGUAAUGUAACCACAUCUGAUACUCUUCGGUUUAUUCACAUCUGUUGAACAGAGUUGCAUAUUGAAUAUUUCUUCUCAAUAAGAAGAAUGAUGAAAGAGAUUUAUUUACAAUGAUGACCGAUGAAAAGUGAAUAAGGGUGACAAGCUAAAGUUGUGAAAAGCCAGGAGAAACUUACAAGAUACCGCUGAUCAGGUGAUAAGGAUACAUCACUGAUUGUCCAUCUCAAACACCUAGCAUGAAUGUCUUUGUGUAUGCUCCAGCCUCUAUCAGCAUCAUAUAUUCUUAUGUGACUUCCCUGAAAACGAAAAGAAAUGUUAUUAUUAUAUUAUGUUUGUAGCUUUAAUUUUAAAAAAUGCAUAACAUAGUGACAGAAAAAGUAAACUAAACACCGGGAAAUUCUGACUUGAACUUGCUAAAAACCUUGACUAUUGUUGGUUGAGCAUAGCAUACCUGAAAACCAGCAACAAAAAGAGUGCCAUCAGCAGAAAACUGCGAAACAUAAGCACGAGAAUCCAUCCUAUCCAAUAACUGAGGGCCGUUCAUUGGAACAUAGCGACCUAGAACAAAUGCACGGUCACCAGAAGAGAACAUCCUCUUUCCAGAACAAUCAAUUUCCCUUUGAGAUAAUAACUUGGCCGUUGAUAUUAUGCCUCUGUUGGUACCCAUGGACUUGUAGCUUUCAGUAAGUCUUGAUCUCAUUCGGGUCAUAUGAAAAAUAUCGUUAUGCAGUUCUGCAAACUCAUUGUUCACUUGAACUGAGCCAGAUCCAUCAGUAUUCUGCCCUUCAGGCUCAUAGUAUUCAUCUUCUAGCCUACUCAUGCCAUAACCCAUUCUUUCAGGCUGAUGAUGUAUUUAUCAAUUCUCUCUGCAAACGCCUAUCAAUGUUCAGAUUCAAAGGCUUCCUAUAAAAAUUGGAAAGUUCCCAAGGAACAACGAAAUUUUGUUACAUAUUUGCAAUUGCGUAAAAAGGCACAUAUCACGUGAGAGCAGCUUAUGCUGGGCAUGAUCGUUGAAUGUGGUUCAAUUAACUAGAAUUCACAAGCCCAACUCAAACCUCUGGUUUAUGCUCUAUAUACACACUAUAAAUUGAGGUACUGCAUCAUAAAAUAUAUCAAAACAGUGAAACUGCAUCUGUGAACAUGCAGGAACAGAGGUUUUACUACUGAGAGUUACUAGCUAAAUCAGGGGCGAACCCACUAAAGGGCAUGGGUAUACACAGGUACACCCGAUAAUUUUUGCCAAAAAAUAGAGUUAGUAGGCAUAAUACUACAUGCCCACUACACUUGUAAUUACAUCAGAUUUGAAAACAAAUAGCUUAAGUUAGGGGAAGAAAAGGGGUAGGCGUACCUGGUGGGUGCUCGCCGCCGGCGAAGGGCCCAAAGAAGGCCUGAGCAAUUGGCGUAGGGCAGCGGCGGCGGCUGUCGCCACGAGCCCGCGAGAGAAAGAGCGCGCUCACGCCGGGGGCACGGGAGAACCACGCGAGAGCGAGAGAGACAGGGGGAAGAACUGGUCACUGGAGUCGCCCGGCCGGACGGGAUAACAAAGAUGCAGGGCCGCUCGCAGAGGCUUUGCUCGCGAACGUUUUUUUAACAUUUUUUUUAUAUAUACUUCCUCAAACAAUUAAAAAGAUAGAUGCAAUUAUACGUUUGGAUGGAGUCAAAUAUACUUUUUUUUACAAGAAGCCAAAUAUACUUAAAAUUGACUAAGUUCAUAGAAACCAGAAAAUAUUAUAAACAUUUGUGACUCUAAAUAGAUCUAAAAAAUAUAUAUUCCAGAAUUAACCUAAUUACAUAUAUUUUUAUAUUAUAAAUGUUAAUGUGCUUUUUUGAUAUAUUUGAUUAAAUUUAAAAUUAUUUGAUUUGUUAUGAAAAAAUACAUUCUCCUUUUAUGGAAAGAGUAACAACCAUGCAGCGAUCAACUAGUUCUCUAAAUAUAUGUUUCAAGUUUAGCCAUACCAUGUCGACAAUACAUCAAACUACAACUAUUAUAUGAACAAGAAGAUACCCAUACGGAGAUUAUUGGGAGAUGAUGUGGAUGGCUUGCAUGUUGAGGCAGACUUAUAGUGGGUAUCAUCAGCUUUAUAAGAGAUAUAGAUAUAGAUUAUCCACCUACUAUCACAAACGAGGCAUCAAGGGUGUGUAGUAUGAGACAGUAAGCCAACCCAUGAUGACAUUCUUCUUGUGUCAUUAACUUCCAUGGCUUUUUCACAAUGUUGACUCCACAAUAACAAAUCAUGCCGCAAAACGGUUGAAUACAAACCAUAGUUUGACUCAAAUCCAACAUUGGAGAAGAGGAGCAACACAAAAUCAAAAUGUGACUAACAUGUGUUUUACAAUGGAAAUACCAUGUGAGAUAGUAGCAAACUAAAUGACCAUAAGUGUCUUAGCCAUGAAGACUUGGAUUGUUGAUUGGCGUAUGGCACAAAGGAUAUUCUUGAAGACUAAAGAUACAACAAAGUGAAUGCAAGGUUGGGAUUCGAAGAUAUUCAUUGUACUGUGCAUUAGAGUUUUAUGUUUUCCUGCUGUACUAUUAAGAGGGGUCUGAGAUAUGCAUCUUGAGGGAAUUGAAAUGAGAAUAUUUGGUAGCACAAGAUACUUACUCUUGUUUGAGACUUAGGCAUAAGAGGCUCAUUCGGUAGGUUUUAUGUAUAGGAUCUAAAAAAAAUUGAAUUAGGACAAACCAAACUUAAAAUAGACUUGGAAAACACUAGAGCAUGCAUUAGACGAUAGGGACGAUACUUGGUGGAUCAUCCAUGGCAUUAUGUGCAGGGCAAUAAUUACUCAAUUGUAGUAACAGAGUGCCAUUAUAUACUCUGGUUUGCCUUCAUGGCACUCGGCGGAUCGCUCGAUGAGGCUCAAUCCUUUACUAUCCUCAAGCGUCCAUCCUACUUAUGUGCAUUGUAUGAUCUAGCGUGUCUUGGUGGCACCUAGCAGAUUGUCUGGUUAACUUGUUGACAAGUUGUCUUUGAAAACAUAUAGUCCCCUAAUUCAGUUUUGGUGAUUAAAAAUGACACAAUCAUUGUGGCUAAUGUAUGUUUUAUAACAAUAUUACUUAGUGAGAUCACAUUGAUGAGAUUGAUUGGCAAUUAUGAUUUUCAUGCCCCUAAUGAUGGAAUUCAUUUUGGUUGCACGAAGGCUAGGAACUAUCUAUUUCUAUAUGUUGAUUGGAGAUGGGAGACACUUGGAAUAGUGAUAGGUUCUUUGUCUUAUCCUUUGGACAUACUAUUAAGUGGAUAUGAUUACAUAGCUUGACAUUCGUGAGAUUAUUGAGUGGAUGUGAUGCACACUUGUGAAAACUAGCACUAGAUAGCUCAGAUAAAGCUUAAGGAUCAAUGAAAUCAAAACCAAACUCAAAGGUGUUUGUAAUGGAUGAGUUUGGAUUUAUAGGAAGGCCCCAAAGUUUACUCACAGUGUAACUAUUGAACUGAAAAUGGGGUGAAUCUACCUUUAUCUUCCUAUGUGCCUUAGAGUGCUGACACCAGGGCUUUGGAAUAGUAUACUGCAAACUUAUGGCUCGGAGGAGUAAAGGGCGUCGGAGCUCCCCACCAGAGCUUUGAGUGUAGAGGGAGGUGUUGGUAGCCCACCUGAGCUCUCUAGUGGCUCAUCAAAAUGUCCUAACGGAUAGUUCUAGGCUAAAAGAGUAAAGGAUGUGCCAGAACUCUAAUGAAAAGGCACAUCAGUGUAUGCAUUUUGACCGAGUGGAGUUUGAAUGGCUAUUUUUUAGACUGCGACCUAUAAAUACCCUUUUCACUUUUCUGCAGAUUGGCUCCCAUGGACAUAAAAUACCUCAGUAUAUAGUCAACAUAAAAUUUGAAUAAGUAAAUAGUUUCUUUGAAAAUUACAAAAAAGAUAGUUUUAUUUUUCAAAUGUUAGGAAAAAAAACUUAAAACAAAUUUCAGCUCAUUACUAUAUGUAAAGUUUAAAAAGUCAUCUCUUUCGCUGUCAAGGUCAAAAAAAACAACCAAAUUGAUCUUAUAGCUCUAGAUUGUAACUUCAAAGAUACAAGGACAAAAUAAAUAACCAAAUAAAGACAGAAAAAACAUGAAGAGGGCAAUGGUGUAGAAUUCUCAUUUGCAUUGUACUAGAUUUUCGCAUGCUAAUAAAAAGACAAAGAAAUCACAAGUGGUAUUUAUAUGAGAGGGUUACACGCAUGCAUGCACACAGAACUAUCAUCAUCUAAGAACUUGUGACCCCUCCAUGCCACUUUUCUUCCCCCAGCAUGUCGUACGCCUUGACAUUUCCAGCAUGUCUUAUAGCUUGUUGUAGCUCUAAUUAAGUUUGUCAAGCUACUGUUCGUGGCCAACAUCAGUCAGUACAUCACCAUCGAUGUUGACAAAGUGAAUUACAAUGAUUGUCGAUAAAUCUAUCAACUCUCAUGGCUCUGAUAAGCGUCAUCUAUUUGUCCAUGUAUCAAUCAAACAAUCUACAAUUACGCCUUGUUUAGUUUCGAAAACGAAAAGUUUUCGGAAUUAUAGCACUUUCGUUUUUAUUUGACAAACAUUAUCCAAUUAUAGAGUAACUAGGAUUAAAAGAUUCAUCUCGUGAUUUAUAGGUAAACUGUGCAAUUAGUUUUUAUUUUCGUCUAUAUUUAAUACUCCAUGCAUGUGACGUAAGAUUCGAUGUGACGGGGAAUCUUGAAAAGAUUUUGGUUUUCAGGGUGAACUAAACAAGGCCUUACCUAAACUCUAGUAAUCUAAAUUUUAGUUUUCAACUACAGAGUAGUGUGGAUUAAUAAGUAGUCCUAUAUAUACUGUAUAUUUAUAUUCUCAGACUCGUGGGCUGAGCUGAGCUCUUUCUCUCGGCUGGGUCGUGGACCCUUGUGGGCCUACACUACACCCGCACAGGCCCUGGACCAUGCCCGGUUCAGUAUUGUACUGUACUCUCUCUUAGGCCGGUUUAUUUUCAAUUUCUUUUUUUUCAAAAAUAGACACUUUAACAAUUUUAUUUAUAUUUGAUAAAUAUUGUCUAAUCAUCAACUAAAAAGACUUAAAAGAUUCGUCUCGAAAAUUAUAGACAAAUUAUACAAUUAGUUAAUUUUUUAAUAUGCUGCAAAAUUUGAUUUAACGGAGAAUUAAAAAAUUUUGUAAAAUUUUUUAGAAACUUAAACAAGGCCUUAUCCAUAGCGCAGGAGCGGAGAAAGAAAGAGACAGUGUGUUGUAUUGCACCAGUGGCAGGUGGAUACGCGAGGAGUAGAUAAGCUAGCAGCACGAGGGCCAGCCUUGACUUUUCCUUCUCUCUCUCCAUUCCCCGGGAAGAAAAAUAGAGCGUGUACAGAGAGAGAGAGAGAGAGAGAGGGGGUACCAGACAGAGUAGUGCGGUACCGUAGUAGACCAGCGGGCGCAGUGGUAGGAGGGGACUAGGCCUUGUUUAGUUGGCAAAAUUUUGGCUUUUGGGCUACUGUAGCACUUUCGUUUUUAUUUGACAAACAUUGUCCAAUCACGGAGUAACUAGGCUCAAAAGAUUCAUCUCACAAAUUUCAGGUAAACUGCGUAAUUAGUUUUUAUUUUUAUCUUUAUUUAAUGCUUCAUGCAUGUGACCAAAGAUUCGAUGUGACGGAGAAUCUUGAAAAUUUUUGCGAACUAAACCAGGCCUAGGGUGGCCUCAGCAGCAGCAGCAGGCCUGCGUGCGCGCGGUGGCGUAGGCAGAUGAGGGAGAGGACUGCGUGUGGGGGUAGACGGGGACACGUUUCGAGCUCCGGCUGGUGCGCGCGUCCCUCUCGGCGCAAAGCAACGCAGAGCCCUAUCGCUUCGUCUCGUCGUCCGCCAGCCCCGGCCCGGUCCGCUUCGUACGCUGCUGCCAGCCACCUUGUCCGAUCCGUCCUCUCGCCCCUUUUUUUUUUUGGGUCCGCCACCGUGUCCUUGGCUCCAAAACCCGGUCCGGGACGGGAUAUUUUAGCCGGACUUUUGGUGAGCAGACGUUAAAUCCAAAAAAAAAAAUCAACCAGAUGUCUCGUUCGGAAAAAUUGUUUGUAGAUCAACGCCAUACAACCUUGUAUCAUGCCAUGCUUCUUCAGAUAACGACGCUAAUAGAGUAGAGGGCAGGGGAUGCGUGCACAUUUGAUUUAGGAAAAAAAAUAUUGAAUGUCAUUGAAACUUAUAACUUUUUCUUAUAUGCCAUUGAAAAUUAAGACUUUCACUGCUAUUGAAUUGUUUUUUUCUGUUUCCCUUAUAGUAUGUCAUUGACGUUUGAAAUCAGUUAAGAUGAAUGUUAAAGGAUGGACGAAGUGGCAAUUACACUCGUACCAUCAGCAUAGGUAUAACCCACAAAACUUAGAGAUGUUUCUUUCAUGCCAGCUAGUAGCACUUAGAUAGUACCGCUACAUGUAUUUUGAACCCCAGACAAAUUAAACACACACCCGCAAAAACACACACACACACACACAUUUAAAUCAAACUAGGGAUUCUGAACUAAAACUCGAUCUACUGCGCGAUUAGCACAGUCGCAAAAAAAAAGUGCACGAUUAGCACGAUCCAUCCUUUCAGCCCAACGUUGGUUGCUUAACACGUUGGCUUGUGACCAACGAGCGGCGACCAAAUCUCAUCAGGGAUAGAUGAGCACUAAGCUGGAAUUGGACAUGAUGACCCUUUUUUUUUUCUCUAGAUACUCGUGGAUCACGAAGGGCCCUUUUAAAAGUGUUUUUAUUGCGUGGAAUUACUAGAGCCAAGUGGGGGGUAUAGUACUACUACAAAGGAAUCAAGGAUUUCCAUUUCCGCCACACGCUGCGAUUUCCAUUUAGGUCUCCUCGUCCCGACCAAUUACCACCCCCAAGCUGCUGGCGAUCGAUUCCGACGGUCAUUCGCUGGCUGCUGCUUUCUCACUCAGGGCUUGUUUAGUUCACCCUGAAAACCAAAAGGUUUUCAAGAUUACCCGUCACAUCGAAUCUUGUAAAACAUGCAUGAAGCAUUAAAUCUAGAUCAAAAUAAAAACUAAUUACACAGUUUGUCUGUAAAUCACAAGAUGAAUCUUUUGAUUCUAAUUAGUCUAUAAUUAAAUAAUAUUUGUCACAAACAAACGAAAGUACUAUAUUAGCGAAAAAAAAUUCGCAUCUAAACAAGACCUCAGGCGGCCGGAGGAAUGUGCGGCCACUUACAUGUCCUUGUCACAGCCCGCCGGCGGCACUAAUAACCCGCCUGUCAUUUCCCGGAUUACCGAAUGCUAUGCUGCAUUCCUGCCAGUGCGUGCCCCACGCCACGCGCGAGCAACGCACGCAGCUUGGGAUUGAUUCGACGUGGCACUGCCUUGCAUCAAAGAUCAUUAGGGCCCAGACAGUGUCUCUCCAGGUAAAUCACUCGGUAUAUUCAGCGGAGGAGAAUCAGCGUGCACUGCCAUCUGCCAAUACGUGUUGAGAUCAUGUCCCAAAAUAUAUCGGUUAUCAUUUUUAAGAUUAGCAUAUGACUCGUUUAGCACAGCUUCACUUUAUCGGUAAAGCUGUUUUUCUUUUUUGGACUUUAACUCGAUAAACAUUUCUAUGAGUGAAGCAGGAACUCUUUUACUAAAUUAUUUGACAAACUAGCUCCACAUGUAGAACUUCUUUAAAACUAGCUCUCAGAGAAUGCUAUAUAAGACGAGAUGACGUCGGUACAAGCCACUAUUUUUGCUUUCUUCCAAUCCUAAAGCUCUGUGAAAGCGUGUUUUUAGGGGUUUUAUUGGUAGAGACGUUUUAUUUUAUCAUGUUUGGCACAAAACAGCUCCAAACGGCUCCUUAAGCCGUUGGAGAAGCUCUUCCAAACAGUACCUAUAUGUUUGACUUACUCUUCUAAAUACUUGUUGCUGAUAUAAAAAAAUUCCACAAACUCAAAGAUCGAACAACUUAACCCACAACUUUUAAAAUAGGGCGGAAUACCUCUUUCGCUAUUUUAAAGUGGUUUCCUAUGGAUAUGCAGAUAUGGCGGUAGGCCCAUAUCUCAGGUGGUUUCAUUCUUUUUUUACAUAAAAAAUUCAUAACUUUAUAUUAAGUAGGAUGAAUACAAACUUUAUAUCAAAAUUAUAAAGAUUGAUGUGAUCUAUAACUUUGUAGUUGCGAAAUUUUUUCUUUGUGAUCUUUUAUAAGCUCAAAUGUCCAUUUUAAGUUACCACGUUUUUAGAUUUAAAUUUUAAUUUUUCAAAUGACCUACGAUGUUGACAUAGUAAAACAAAGUUGUCUCUCCAUACGAUCUACAACUUUGUUGUUGAUAAUUUUUUCAUCUGAGAUCAUUUAGAGGGCUAGGUAUCUAUUUUUAAGUUCUCAUAUUUGAAAUUUAUUUUUUUCAAAUGACCUUGCAUGUUGACAUGUUCUAUACCAAAGUUCGAGCUGUAAAUGUAAUCUACAACUUUACAGUUGACUUAUUUUUAUAUGAGAUCAUUUAGAGGCUCAACUAUUCAUUUUGAGUUCUUAGCAUAUUAAAUUUUAGUUUUAAAAUCUUUAAAAUGACCUUGAAUGGACAAACACAUUUGUAACACACUGUAGUUCCUGUAGAGAUCUAAAACUAUACAUUUGAUUUUUUUUCCCCAUAUGAGAUCAUUUAGGAGCCCAAAUAAUGAAUAAAACAUGAUAUGCCUAAAAAAUUGAAGAAAUGUAGGGCCGACAUGCCACAUCAACCAAGAUCACUAUAAACUAUUCUUAGUGUGGGGUGGGGGGGGGGGGGGGGGGUUAAUUUACCUAGUUUUGAAAAUUAAAGAGACAAGAUAUGGUAUUCGAGUUCGAGAAUAUUUUAAAAUCCAACGACAAGUUUAGAGUGUAAUCAAACUUGAUGAUAUGGCAAGUGGAUCACCCAAGUCAUUCGCAAUGUUAGUAUGCAUGUGUGCAAACUCUAUAUGUUUAUACUGUGUUCAAAAGAGAGAAGUUCAAGUUUCCAACUAAUAAUUUAUUCAACUAUGCCUACAUAUAGCAGAUUUGCUUAAGUCUUAUUUGACAUAGCUUUAAACGGCUUUGGCUUCUUGUUGCAGUGCGUGGAGAAGUCAGAGCUGGAGCUAGCGAAGUAAAAAAUAGUGGGUUCACCGGCUCUUAGGUCAUUUUUAGAGAAAAAAGGCUCCUCGCUAUAGUGUACCGAGAAGCUAGAGCCUGAGUCAUCCAAAUCGUUUCUAAUAGAUAGAGGCUUUAGUCUAAUUUAUUUGGGUUAACAUGGGCUAAUUUUUGGGCCAGCCGGCUCAGCUGAUGAAACGGAAACAGUGUACCAGCUGCCAGGGAAUGUUAAUAUUAAUAUCACGGUGAGGCCAGGUAUGAUGUGCAUAUCACACUGGAGUUUUCCCUGUCCAAAUACUACAUCAUUGUGUUCCUUAGAAAAAGAUCAAUCAUGCAUGAUGUUUCUCUACCCUGCGAAAAGGAUGCCAGUUGUUGAUGUUUUUACACGUACAUUCCUACAGUACAAUUCAGAAAUGAUUGUACUUGAUCAUAGUAUAGCACCCUUUCAAGUCUGUUCUACGUCGAUUUAUGGUCCAGAAUACGUAGCCUCUUGUAUACAUGAAGAUUUGUCUCGCUCACAUUAGGACCCAUGCAUCCGUGUGAGCAGUUUUCAUCAUGAGCCUGCAGCAGUGCACAGCUAGCAGCACGACCUGACCUGACCUGACCUGACCUGGAUUAGGGCCUGCUUGGGCUGGGUACAGGUUAGUUGAUGUAGUAGGCGUGAAACCUGAUAGGCUGAUAGCCCGUCCCGGUGCUGAUUUAUAUAGGUUUUAGUUUGCAGACUAAGAACUAUAAGAGCUAAUGUACUAUUGAUGAACCAAUCAAGAAGUGUCAUGCAAAUGUUGUUGUUGUCAAUCCAAAUCCAAAUGAUAAGCAAUCACAGUGGCAACUACCCAUGUCUUUAAAACUCUGAACUGUUUCUGGUCCAAGCUAAGGAAAAAAAAAACAGAGAAAAGAAAAAUGGCAGAUGCAUGCAAGGGCCAUAGUCUUUUUGAAGGUGAAUUGUAUAUAGGUGACAAGUGAGUGUCAUCCGGGGGCAUGUGCAUGUACCGCAAUUAUUGCAAGCAAUGUUUUAUUUUAUUUUUUUUGGCCUUAGAGUACUGGCCAAGCAGGCAUAGUGAUUUCAAUAAGCAAGUUUAUACACACUUAGUAUUCAUUUGUAUACCUUCCUGGACUUCUAUUCAUGACAAGUAGACAAUGUACUUGUCCCCUCCAAGGCUCCAACAAUGCAUUGCUGUGGGGCACUUAAAAAAAACGCAUUGGUGUGGACCUGUUGGGACUUGGGAGUUAGAUUAGCGCCAGCUAGUACUGAUCCCGGAUUGGAGCCAAAAAAAAAGCCUUUUCAAUAGGUAAAGUUCAGCGUUAUGCUGCUUAAUUAACCGAGGCUAAAGUUAGUUUAUUUAAAGGGACGCCGUUUAGAAGCUGCCGGCCGGCGGGCGGCGGCAUCGGCCAGGGAGAAAGAAUACUGGACGUGGCGGGUCGGCGGGCCGCGCGGCCACGUGAAAACGAGUACACGACGACGCCUUGGAUGGUUAGGGCGCAAAUUCUGCGGUCCGUGCUACAGCUAGUGUGAUGUGCUGGUCUAGGAGAAAUGAAAAAAAUUAAAAUACUUCCUCCAUCUCAAAAAAUAUAUAUUUUUAACUCUGUGACAUCGUGUUUGACCGCUUGUCUUAUUUAAAUUUUUUAUACAAAUUAUAAAAUAAAAAAAUUAUUAUUAAAGUAUCUCUAAUGAUUAAAUACUAUCAAAAUAGACGAUAUUUAUAUAAAAGAUUUUAAUAAAACGAUGGUCAAAUAAGAUGUUUAAAAGUCAAUAACAAUGGUCCUUUUGAAACAGAGGGAUUAUAUCAAUGUGAUGGGCUAAGAUAGAUGCUUUCAGAUGUGAAAAAAAAAUCACGUAGGGGUCCCAUCCCAUCGCCCAAUCAUUUUGGCUAUUAUCUAAAUAUAUAUUAUCAUACGAUCCAGCGUCUUCAGGCACAAAUGAUAGUGAUCAGUCCUUUUGUACUUUAGGAAAAUGUCAGCUGCGUGCUUUUUUGCGCCGCUGUGCAAAUGGGAUUUGUGAGCAUGCACCUUCGCGGUGUGUAGAUAGCACGAGAGAAUAUAUAAAGGGCAUCGAAUUAUCUGUGUGUAUAUAUAUCCAUGCAUGCAAGGAAAUUUAGAUGAUCUUUGGAGGAAGUUGUGAAGCAUUGAUCAACAUAGUCCUCGUUUGGCAAUAGUUUUUUUUUCUUUUCUUUAAGACAUAAUCAAUUUACAAGAAAUGAGGGUCCGUUAAUUAUUUUUAUGGGCAAAAUAUAGUGGAAUUAGUUAAAUAAUAUAACAUGCUAUAUAAAUGUGUGGCAAUAUUGUUAUAUACAGUGAGUUAUUUGGAUAGAUACCAUUAUAGUUUUGCAAGUUUUGGGAACCAUCAUCACUAUUUACCUGAGAUUUGCCACUACAAUUUGCUUUGUACCUAAUAUAUAACGUGUUGUAUGCUGUGGAUACCAUUGGACCCAUUCGCAGGCCAACAUGUUUUUGUAUCACCCAAAAUACCCCUCAAUCCUUCUCUCCUUUGUCAUUAGCGUGUGGACAACACACAUCACCUUCCUAUCCCCAUCUUCUUCCCCACGAUAAUCAGAGGUUGUAUGUUGAUGCCUUCUCUCUCUCUCACAUUGCACCACACAUGGAGCCUCUCACGUCGGCCUUAGGCUAGCUCCCACCACACCUAUGCUAUCGACAUGUCUCUAGUGCCUAUACAGCUCCACACCCAUGCAGUUGCCCAUCAAUGUAUUUGCUUCUUGCCCUUGGCUCGGUAGUGAUGAUCCGCAUGGUGCAAAACACAAUUGUCGACCUCACGAUGCUCUGGUACGUCCAAAAUGAGCAUCGAGUCCCACGUGCUCAAGGAGCGCAAGGAUGAUUAAGGGUGCCUGCGGAAGUUUCUGGGGGAGGAGGAUGGCCAAGGACCGAUGAGGAGGUGUGAGGAGAUUGACCAUGAUGCCCAUGGAGGACGAUGCCUAGAGGAGGAAGAAAACCACAUGAGUACUUUUGUUUAGACAAAAUUUUGUAGCCAUUGGACCCAAGGUCGUGAGAGACGUAGAAAGUGGCGUAUUUCAGGUAUUAGUAGAAUUGUAAUGGAAAAUCUCAAAAUAGGUAAAUAGUAAUGAUAGUUUUCAAAAUUACAAAACUAUAAUGGCACCAAUCCGAACAACCGUAUAGUUGGUGCCGUGUAAUUAUAUGGCAAUCAACUAAAAAAUUUAGGUCGUGUUUGGAAUGUUGCAAAUUUUCUCUACUAUUGAAUUUCUCUGUGAAACUAAUCCAAACUCCCGCGACAAUUCCAUGUAAUUCAUGUGAAAUUCAAUCAAUCCAAAUAGCUACACAACAAAAACUAGCUACAACAUGGAGCUAGGCUACUUACAAUGGGCAAGACUGAAGCUAUGCUAGUUUUUCCCCCUUUGUUUUUCUUUUGGGUCGUUGGUCUAAUGCUACGGUUCGAUAAGAUGGCCUUGUUUAGUUCACCCUGAAAACCAAAAAGUUUUCAAGAUUCCCCGUCACAUUGAAUCUUGUGGCACAUACAUGAAACAUUAAAUAUAGACAAAAAUAAAAACUAAUUACACAGUUUAGCUGUAAAUCACGAGACGAAUCUUUUGAUCCUAGUUAGUCCAUGAUUGGAUAAUAUUUGUCACAAACAAACAAAAGUGCUACAGUACCGAAAACUUUUCACUUUUCGGAACUAAACAAGGCCGAUGUUUGAGAGUCACUUUUGUGUCCUUGGUAAGGCCUUGUUUAGUUCGCAAAAAUUUUCAAGAUUCCCCGUCACAUCGAAUCUUUGGUCGCAUGCAUGGAGCAUUAAAUAUAGACGAAAAUAAAAACUAACUACACAGUUUACCGGUAAUUUGUGAGAUUAAUCUUUUGAGCCUAGUUACUCCGUGAUUGGACAAUGUUUGUCAAAUAAAAACGAAAUGCUGCAGUAGCUAAAAACAAAAAUUUUCGCGAACUAAACAAGGCCUAAGCCCAAAACAACAAAAACCAGCUACAACAUGGAGCUAGGCUACUUACAAUUGGCAAGACAGAAGCUAUGCUAGUCCCCCCCUUUGUUUUCCUUUUGGGUUGGUCUCAUGCUAUGGUUCAGAUAAGAUGUUUGAGAGUCACUUUUGUGUCCUUGGUAAGCCCAAAACAACAAAAACCAGCUACAACAUGGAGCUAGGCUACUUACAAUUGGCAAGACCGAAGCUAUGGUAGUCCCGCCCCCCCUUUGUUUUCCUUUUAGGUUGGUCUAAUGCUAUAGUUCUGAUAAAAUGCGUCCCCCUAUUUGUUUUCCUUUUUGGGUUGGUCUAAUGCUAUAGUUCAGAUAAAAUGCUUGGGAGUCAUUUUAUAUCCUUGGUAAGCCCGUAUAUGUAUUGUCGACCUGACUUUAAUGUGCAAAGAAAUGUGUCAACCUAAGAUUAAGGCAUGCUAGGGGCUUGUAGAAGUCAGCUUAGGCGUACUUCAUUUCAACUGCACUUUUUUUAAAAAUAAAAAAGGUUUCAGCAGCAAUGUGUUACAUAUAUUUUCUGUACUGAUACCCUAACAUAAUAUCCCAGUAAUAAUUCUUUCAACAAAAUACAUCUCAGGUAUUUUAUUUCUAUAAUAAAACACACAGGAGAGCCGUGUACCACGUUACCACUUGUAAACGCUAUGACAAUGCAAAACAAAAGUGGCAAAGGUAACACGGCACCGAGAGAGGCAUUUCGGGGCUCCAAGACGAGAGGCUUUCCUUUGCACCAGGGCUUGGCGAUAGCAAUAGUGGCGUCGACGGAUACGUCCAGCGGAUAGCCCAACGUCCACGUACACCGUUUUUGGUCCACCUACCAGCAGUUCUCGCGCGCCGCUCCGUCCGUCCGUCCAACCCCCGUCCGUCCCACCGAGAGACGACGACGACGAGGGCGACGGAGGAAAAGGCAAGCGACGAGCACGAAAAGCAGGAGGGAGGGCAACUCUCGUCUCGUCCCCAAAGGGCAGCGGCGCGUCGGCCCUCGGCAGAUCCAUCCAAACCUUCUCGCGAAACCCUCCAAAAGAAAUAAAAACAAACAAAACAAAAGCCAGGCGAGGAGAGAGAAAGGAGGAGAGAUAGAGAGAGAGAGGGGGACGGAAAAAAAUAUUUGUGGGUAGAGAAGAGAGAGAAGUAGUAGGGGGGUUGGGCGCGUGUGGGCCCCGCAUCCCCCCGCGGGUUUUACUUUUGGAGCCGCCCGGUUUUGUCGUCUCCUCCGUCCGUCCGCCCCCCGCCCCCCGCUAUUACCCCGCCCCCCCUCUCCUUCCUGUUCCCCUCCAUCUCUCCCUCGCCCCCUGUGCCCGCCCCCGCCUCACACACACGCACACACCCCACAGCCUACAGCGCUCCCUUCUGCUGCCUGCUUGCUCCAGCGCCCGCCUCUCCUCGAGCUGCCGCCGCGCGCGCGCGCGCCCCCGCCCGCUGCUCGUUCCUCCCGCCUGCUUGGCUCGGCGAGCCCUGCCAGCAAGAGGUUGGUGGGCGGCGCGGGGAUUUGUAUUGGAGGAGCCGAGGAGGGUGCUUGGCCGCGAGGAGAUCGGGGGCGCGGGAGGGUGGCCGCGCUCGGUUCAGCGGGAUCACUUGGCGCGGGGCCCAUGCCGUGAGCAAAAGCCAAGCUUUUGUUGCCCGGGGGAGAGAUCUUGCACUUGCCGCGGAAGUGAAGCCGGCGGUGCGGUCCCGAGCCGAGCGGCGCCCGCCCCCCGCCGCCGCCGCCAUGGCCGGCAGCGACGAGGUCAACCGCAACGAGUGCAAGGUGCGCGCGCGCCUCCCUCCCGUCGCUUCCGCUUCCUUCCUUCCUUCCUUCCUUGGGCUUCCUUGUAUAUAUACUAGUACUAAUUUCGUCGCGCGGGCAUGUCACCCCGCCGUCCUUGCGUCCGGCUCCCGCCCCUCGGUUGCGCGUUUCGGAAGGGGGAGGAGGCGUUCUUCGGCGGGCGGGUGCGCCAGGCCGCCGCUGCCGCCUGCCGCUUUAUGAUUCGGUGGAUUGGGGCCAGCGCUGGCCGGUGAUUUCCCGGUCAAUCGCUGCCUUUUCUUUCCCCUUUGGGCUCAACCCGCAAUUUUAUCCUCUUCGCACUUGCCCCCGUUGUUUUUGGAGUUUGGGAGGGAGUGGCGAGGAGGGAUGCCCACGGAAAUGGCUACCCAACAAGAGGGGAAGCGACCAAAUCAUGCCAAAGCUUCCAUCUUUUCGGGCAAGCGGAGGCCAAAGAUCGCCGCUCGCAUUGCCCUUGUCACCCAUGCGAGGAAACUGCAAAGGAAUACUACUAGCCGAAUAGCCGAAUAGGAAGGAUGGGAGGCGCUGCAACGACUGCCAUGUGUUUGUGUUUGUGUUUGUGAUGAGAGGGGGACUCAAACUGUUGCUGCUGUUGAUGUUGUGCAGGGUGCGGUGCCGAUCCACACAUGGGUGCUCAUCUCCAACUUCAAGCUGGCGUACAACAUGCUCCGGCGGGCCGACGGCACCUUCGACCGCGACCUCGCCGAGUUCCUGGACCGCCGGGUGCCGCCCGACGCGCGGGCCCAGGAGGGGGUCUCCUCGUUCGACCACGUCAUCGACACGUCCACCGGCCUCGAGGUCCGCAUCUACCGCGCCGCCGCCGCCGCCGCUAACAACAACGGUGGCGCGGCCGCGGUCACCCUGCCCAUCCUGGACUUCCUCGCCGGCGCGCCGUCCCCGGACCCGUUCCCGGUCAUCCUCUUCUUCCACGGCGGCAGCUUCGCGCACUCUUCCUCCGGCACGGCCAUCUACGACAACCUGUGCCGCCGGUUCGUGAAGCUGAGCAAAGGCGUGGUGGUGUCCGUCAACUACCGUCGCGCCCCGGAGCACCGGUACCCGUGCGCCUACGACGACGGCUGGACGGCGCUCAAGUGGGCCAUGUCGCAGCCCUUCCUCCGCAGCGGCAGGGGCGGGGACGCCCGCCCCCGCGUCUUCCUGUCGGGCGACAGCUCCGGCGGCAACAUCGCCCACCACGUUGCCGUCCGCGCCGCCGACGCCGGGAUCAACAUCUGCGGCAACAUCCUGCUCAACGCCAUGUUCGGCGGCACGGAGCGCACCGAGUCGGAGCGGCGGCUGGACGGCAAGUACUUCGUCACGCUCCAGGACAGGGACUGGUACUGGAAGGCGUACCUGCCCGAGGACGCGGACCGGGACCACCCGGCGUGCAACCCGUUCGGGCCGAACGGGCGGCGGCUCAGGGGGCUACCCUUCACCAAGAGCCUCAUCAUCGUGUCGGGCCUGGACCUCACCUGCGAUCGGCAGCUGGCGUACGCCGAGGGCCUCCAGGAAGAUGGCCACCAUGCCAAGCUCGUGUACCGUGAGAAGGCCACCGUGGGUUUCUACCUGCUGCCCAACACGGACCACUACCACGAGGUGAUGGAGGAGAUCGCCGACUUCCUCAGGGCUAACCUCUAGUACAUACUACUACGACAUCACAGCUGCCUGCCUGCCUGCCUGCUGAUCAUAAGACUCAUCGACCAGUGGUCGUCUCAGACACAAACUUCAACCUCUUGUUAUAGCAAGAAGAUGGUAAGCUUGACUUAUAGUUGUACCGAUCUGCUCUCCUCCUCCGCCUUAUACUGCUGCUGCUGCUGCUUGGGGGUAAUCUGCUGAAUUCCGGCGACGACGGCAAGGCAUUGCUGCUGUCCAUGGCCAAGUGGUGCACUCAAAAGGACAGCCAGCUCCAUAUUUCUGAUCUGAUGAUAAAAGCUCUAGUAGGAAAGGAAUCACGGUGACUUUUUGUUUCGUCGUCGGGUGAAAGUCGUUCUGCUGAUCA